RNAcentral lists this long non-coding RNA (72772 nucleotides) under Ananas comosus (pineapple). RNAcentral's name for it is "long non-coding RNA (ACOM_LNC026794)". The record is from RNAcentral. Lineage: Eukaryota; Viridiplantae; Streptophyta; Magnoliopsida; Poales; Bromeliaceae.
UCACGACCCCCGCGACCACCCGCCUAUUUGGCCGAGGUCGCUGCGCCGACAGCGCCGAACGGACAGGAUUUCCCCUGUACUGCGGACAGAGUCUCCCCUGUACGUUCAAGGCAUCGCAAUCAAUACAAUACAAAGGUUCCAACCAAGAACAGUAUUCAACAAACAGAUUGCAUAAGAAAGGUAUCAACAACAUAACACGUCCUAUGUUAUUACAUACAUUCACAUUCAUUGGUUUUACAUCACAAUUCUCAUUUGAUUUCUUCCAAACACAAUCUAGUUAUUACAAAUUUAUUUACAAGUUUAUACAUUGUGUUCUUUUCAUUCCCCAUACCCCUAAGCUAUGUCGACGGGGUACUACUAGCUCUGGUCUCUGGGUAGGGCGCUAUCUAUGGAGCUACGCCCUUUCCUCGCGCCGCCGCGCCGCUCACGUGCGAACCUGUACCCCCAAANNNNNNNNNNNNNNNNNNNNNNNNNNNNNNNNNNNNNNNNNNNNNNNNNNNNNNNNNNNNNNNNNNNNNNNNNNNNNNNNNNNNNNNNNNNNNNNNNNNNNNNNNNNNNNNNNNNNNNNNNNNNNNNNNNNNNNNNNNNNNNNNNNNNNNNNNNNNNNNNNNNNNNNNNNNNNNNNNNNNNNNNNNNNNNNNNNNNNNNNNNNNNNNNNNNNNNNNNNNNNNNNNNNNNNNNNNNNNNNNNNNNNNNNNNNNNNNNNNNNNNNNNNNNNNNNNNNNNNNNNNNNNNNNNNNNNNNNNNNNNNNNNNNNNNNNNNNNNNNNNNNNNNNNNNNNNNNNNNNNNNNNNNNNNNNNNNNNNNNNNNNNNNNNNNNNNNNNNNNNNNNNNNNNNNNNNNNNNNNNNNNNNNNNNNNNNNNNNNNNNNNNNNNNNNNNNNNNNNNNNNNNNNNNNNNNNNNNNNNNNNNNNNNNNNNNNNNNNNNNNNNNNNNNNNNNNNNNNNNNNNNNNNNNNNNNNNNNNNNNNNNNNNNNNNNNNNNNNNNNNNNNNNNNNNNNNNNNNNNNNNNNNNNNNNNNNNNNNNNNNNNNNNNNNNNNNNNNNNNNNNNNNNNNNNNNNNNNNNNNNNNNNNNNNNNNNNNNNNNNNNNNNNNNNNNNNNNNNNNNNNNNNNNNNNNNNNNNNNNNNNNNNNNNNNNNNNNNNNNNNNNNNNNNNNNNNNNNNNNNNNNNNNNNNNNNNNNNNNNNNNNNNNNNNNNNNNNNNNNNNNNNNNNNNNNNNNNNNNNNNNNNNNNNNNNNNNNNNNNNNNNNNNNNNNNNNNNNNNNNNNNNNNNNNNNNNNNNNNNNNNNNNNNNNNNNNNNNNNNNNNNNNNNNNNNNNNNNNNNNNNNNNNNNNNNNNNNNNNNNNNNNNNNNNNNNNNNNNNNNNNNNNNNNNNNNNNNNNNNNNNNNNNNNNNNNNNNNNNNNNNNNNNNNNNNNNNNNNNNNNNNNNNNNNNNNNNNNNNNNNNNNNNNNNNNNNNNNNNNNNNNNNNNNNNNNNNNNNNNNNNNNNNNNNNNNNNNNNNNNNNNNNNNNNNNNNNNNNNNNNNNNNNNNNNNNNNNNNNNNNNNNNNNNNNNNNNNNNNNNNNNNNNNNNNNNNNNNNNNNNNNNNNNNNNNNNNNNNNNNNNNNNNNNNNNNNNNNNNNNNNNNNNNNNNNNNNNNNNNNNNNNNNNNNNNNNNNNNNNNNNNNNNNNNNNNNNNNNNNNNNNNNNNNNNNNNNNNNNNNNNNNNNNNNNNNNNNNNNNNNNNNNNNNNNNNNNNNNNNNNNNNNNNNNNNNNNNNNNNNNNNNNNNNNNNNNNNNNNNNNNNNNNNNNNNNNNNNNNNNNNNNNNNNNNNNNNNNNNNNNNNNNNNNNNNNNNNNNNNNNNNCAUCAACCUAGGUUCCAAUACUCUAGGUUCUAUGUCCACGUCACUUAACCUAGAUACACUUGCUAGGUUCUUGUCAUCUUUGCCUAGAUGUCUACUUCUAGGUUUACUAGUUCGACCUAGGUUUACUAACACUAGGAUCGAUGCCACACAGCUAGAUUGUUCGACUCUAGGUUCACUUGUUCAACCUAUGUUCUUUAAUACUAGUUAGGUGCCACUCGAUCUAGUUGACAUCCUAGUUGUCCAAUCGAGUCUCAUUACCAAUGAACUCUACACUUCUAGAGUUAUCAUCUAGUUUACAUGCAUAUAUAUACACUCAAACUACUUGUGCAUUCAUGCGCUAUCUAGCAUUUUCAUAUUGUUCAUUAUGCUUUCUACUUAGCAUUAUCAUUAACAUGCACAAUUUAGUCUUGUCUACAUACAUCAACAUGAGAUUACAUUGCUUAGACAUAAAGGGCGACCUAGUAGCUUCGGUAAGCACAGCCCACCUUAGCUAGCUUUCUGAUUGCUUGUCGACACUUGCAAUCGGCCUCCCGUGGCACUCGGCACCCGUUUGGGCCCGAUCUCACAGUUGCUCUCCAAGAGCGCCGCUUCGCCGUUUCAAGAGUUAAAGGUCUUCGCCUUGCUACUACGGUGCUUGGGACCCGAUUUCACGAUUUAUGGACGUCGCCUCGGCCUUCCAGGCGAAAACGAAGCUCCAAGCGUCCGUUUCUUCAAUAUCUUCGCAACGGCUUGUCGGAUUGUCGAACCCACUUCGCCAAUGUAUUUCGUUACCUACCAAUUAGGUUUACGAUGGGUCAAAUGAGAUCAAACUCAUCUAUUUACAAAAACCCUCUUUGGAUGCCCUAGAAUGCCAUUAUUACCAAAUCCACCAAAUCGAUCUAUGAAAUGGGAAAAAAUCAUCUUAAUAGCAUACUAGGGUUCCAUUCUAACCAUUUCUAGAGAUCAAAAACCUAUCUCUAAGGAUCUAACAUGAGGGAGCACCAAGCUUACCUCUCUAGGCUUGCUCUAAUGGAGAGAAGAUGAAGAGGAUGAUGAUGAUGAUCCUCUUCUUCUCCUCCAUCUUCUCCUUCUUUUCUUCUUCUCUUUUCUUUUCUUUUCUUUUCUUUCUUUUCCUUCCUCUCUUCUUCCCCUUUUUCCUCUUCUACGACCGGAGAGAGAGAGAGAGCAGUGAGGGAGAGUGUGAGGGAGAGUGAGAGAGAGAGAGAAAACACCUCUCUAAUAACCCCUCUCAUAUUGUAACAAAAUGCUAAGAAGCCCCUCAACUUUUCCUCUCUUACACAGCCCUCACUGGGCAUUCUGUGCGCGGAGGGACCGGUCUCCCCGACCUGGGACCGGUCCCCGAGAGCUCCCCCCGAUUCCACGCGUUCGGGAACCGGUCUCUCCCUGAGAGACCGGUCCCCCGGAGACCGGUCCGCCCACCAGAGACUGGUCCCCGAGAGCUCGUCUCGCGGGACUUGGCCAAUUUUUGGCCAUUCUCGUUGGUGUCACCUGCGGGGACCGGUUCCCCUGCUGCCAGGGACCGGUUGCCUCAGCAACCCCGCAACCUUUAGCUGAUGGGACCGGUCUCUCCAGCCAAAGACCGGUCCCCGAGAGCAAAUCUGCCAAAGAUGCAGAUUUUGCAUCCUCGCUCUCGCGGACUCCAUUCCAAUGCACUUAUUGAGUUUCGUGCAUCCUUAGCUUUUCCAAAACUUACUAACUCAACCCUCAGUCGAUUCUGGACGAAGUGCAACUCUCCGAUUUCGAGAAUUCACAUUGUUACAAUAACACCAAGUCAUUGAUGCUACCAAGUUUUUGGCCAUUGGAUUAAAAGAUGUGCGGUUAGGAUGAUGUGGGCCCCCUAGAGUUGAGUGGGUGGUUGGUUGAAUAGUAUGAUCUUACGCUAACGGGCUGAAAUAAUAAAGGUAAAACUACGGCGGAAAAUUGGGCACAAGUUGCUUCGCUACAUUAAUAGCGCAUAGUAGUCGGACUUAUAUAUUACUAUAUAAUAAUAUAAGUCGACUAGGGUAUAUCGAUACCCCAAGAUUUGUGCUAUCGAAUUUUUCACCGUAGUUUAAACUUUGAAUUAUUUGUUACCAUUAGAUAUAAUAACUAUUUCAACCAAUCCAUUACCUCAACCCUAGGGGGCCCAACAUCCAUCCUACACCCAUUUCUUAAUCAAAGCUAAAAAUCAAUUAAACAUUAGCUUGGUGCUAUGAGCAUUCCAGCCUUAGUUCAUACUAGUAUAUAUAUUAUUACUUAUAUAUAAUGAGCUCCUAUAGCUUUUAAAAAGUACCAAGUCAUGGUGUGCUUGUAAGGUUUUUAGCCCUGAUAAGGAUGUUGGCCGGUUAAGAUGGUGUGGACCCUAGGGUUCAGGUGGGGAUUGUUGAAUAAGAUAAUCUAACGGGUGUAAAUGAUUCAAAGGCGUAUAUUUUAACAGAGCGUAAAAAAUUUACAAGUCAAUACUUGGUAUUUUACAAGCACCAAUAGCCGACCUAUGUAUAUAUAUAUAUAUAUAUAUAUAUAUAUACUUAUAUAUAUAGAUAUAUAUAUGUUAUAUACGUAUUUAGUAUAAUAUCAGUGUAGCGAGCUACGGUAUGCCUAUCGGAGGCAUAAAGUUAGUUGGUGCUUCAUUUUUUAGGCUCUUGGAUAAAAAUUCUAGUUAGGGAUGUAUAGUGUCCCUUUAGGGUUGAGUGCGUCCCAUUGGUUUAAUUAUAUUAUCAAUGUUUAGAAAUAUUCAAUGAGGUAGAUCUACAGGCUAAAAAUCAGAGCACCAAACUCUUUAUGCUAUAGAGUAUAGUUAGAGUUUUCGCCGUUAGUUAACACCCUUUUGAAUAUUUUAUCCGGUUAGGAUAUACUAUUAACGAACCACCCACUCAACCCUGGGGCGGCCCAAAUAUCCUAACCGCCACAUCUCUUAUCAAUGGCCGCACAAAUUGUGGAUAGCACAAUGACGUUGGUGCUAUUAAUAGUAUAUUAGCCUAGUAUAUAUAAUUAUAUAUUAUAUAUAUAUAUAUAUAGAAUUUAGACUGCGAUACUAUUUAAUAGUAAAAUCUUCUUUUUGCUAUCAAGUUUUUAACCUGAUGAAAUUGUAGGGUUGGGGCGCGAGAUAUAGUCAGUUAGAGUUGAGGUGCGUCCCCCGUAGGGUUGAGUUCCCACUGGCGCGGUAUAGUAUUUAAUGCCAAUGUUAGAAUGAUGAGAAAGACGUUGAAUUAUAAGGUUCACUGCCCCGAGGUCCCUUUCAGUUAAAACAAAGGGAAAAGCGUCUGAAUUUUUUUUUUGUUGCAAAACCUGACCACAGGUAUGCCGAUCGCCACAAAUAACAGGGAAUCUACUUUCCACGGCCAGGAGUCUCCCCUAGUAUUUGCACAGGCGUCGAUCAAAUACACCAGCUAAACCAGGGAUACAACCGACAACAGAUGGAAUUAUAAGGAUACUAUAAAUUCCUACAUUCACGCAUUCACAUCAAAAGUUUUAAUUGCAAUUUUAGAUAGUAAUCACAAAAAUUUUUGAAAGCUGUUGUCCUAACAGAAACCUUUAUUCUUUUAAAACGUACACGAAGGGGUUAGAAAAACCUUUUUUUUACAAAGAGGGUGGAGGCAGAAAUCCACACUUCGAAUGAAAAUUUACUAUGAACUAAUGAAAACCAACUAAACUAUAUUUCAAGCAGAAUACAAGGUAACAACGAAAUCGAAACAAACCUGGGUCGGAAAGACUCUAAUCGACCGCUACACGUACCUCACGUCUCGUCAGCUACUUCAUCGCCGCGAUACUGAAAAUGGGGGGGGAGGUGAGAACAUNNNNNNNNNNNNNNNNNNNNNNNNNNNNNNNNNNNNNNNNNNNNNNNNNNNNNNNNNNNNNNNNNNNNNNNNNNNNNNNNNNNNNNNNNNNNNNNNNNNNCGAAGGUGAUCGUAUUCAUAAUAAUAUAGUAGCGGGACUACAUAUAUGUAGAGUCCGGCUACUAUACUCUUACGAGUAUAGAUCUUUUUGCAUUCAUAAGUUUUUGGCCGUUAGAUCCACCCUUUUGACCAUUUCUACUCGUUAGAUCAUAAUAUUCAACCAACCACCAACUCAACCCUAACCGUGGACUACUAUCAUCCUUACCGCACAUCUCUUCAUCCAACGGCCAAAAACUUAUGAGUACAAAGGGACCUAUACUCACAAAAGUAUAGUAGCCCUAACAUGUAUGUAUAUAAAGUCCGACUCUAUACUAUUAAUAGCACCCAAGCACUUGGUGCUACCCCUUUGACCAUUUUCACCCAUUAGAUCAUACUAUUCAACCAACCACCCAACCACUAUCAUCCUAACAGCACAUUUAAUAAUCCAAGGACCGAAAACCUAAUAUCACCAAUGAAUUAGUGCUAUUAAUAGUAUAGUAGCCUAGUGCUAUAUAUAUAGGGAUAUUAGGGCUGGAUACUCUCAAAAGCACAUGAAUAGUACAUGCUCUCGACUUUCUAACCCUUGGAUUUGUAGGAUUUAUUAUUUGGUGGUUGAACUAGCAUGAAGCCAAGAGCCUGAUAGUCUAUAGCAUGCACUAUUCAUGUGCUAUUAGAAGCACCCAAGAUGGACUCUCUCUCUCUCUCUCUCUCUCUCUCUCUCUCUAUAUAUAUAUAUAUAGCAAAUGCAUAUGCAAGUCAGAUUCAUAAUUCAUGGUGAUAUCUAUAAGAUCGGUGCUCUCCAAUUAAGUUUGGCAACGAUAAGUAAUUUGAUAAAUCAAAGAUGUAAUCAAAAGAGGAAAUUUCUUGAAAAAUUGAAAUCUCCAAAAAUAACAGCAAUCACCUUAAAACAAAUGAGAUGUAUAACAAUAAUUAACUAGUGCAUUAUGCAUCCACUAGUCUUAUAGGAAUGAAGAGCAACGUUUUUUCUUAAAAGAACAUAAUUGCACUAUUUGCACAUCUUGUAGCGUCAAAAGAUUACACAAUAUACAACUCUUGAAGAAGUUUGAAUACUAUGAGAGAAUAACAGGCCAUGAUGCUUAGUACACAAAUCAACACAACAUUUCCAAGUAAUUAUAAACCCCAUGACAGCAAGAAUACCUCCAUAUUCAUAAAGCUUCUAUUUAACUUCUGACUCCCACAAUGCCAGCUCAAAGUCAUAAAUCAGCUAGCUUAACAAUGACAAAUACCUGACAACAAAAGAUAAUUUAACCAUUCUCAUCAUGGGAUAGUUUGUAGAAUAAGAGAUAUGUCGAGUUAUUUCACCAACACAUCUGAAAGUUCAUUGAAUGAACAUGUAAUCCACUCAGAAACUAGCAACGACAUCAAGUGCUAUAAUGAUGGAUCAAUAGAUGCUUUUUAUGCCAUUGUUCUCAGCCACCCAAGCAGCCAAAGAAGACCAGCAUCUAAAAUAGGAGAUCUUUUUUCAAACCCUAGAAUGACAGGAAAGAACACAAAUAAAGCUACAUAGUACCAUAAAUCACCUAAUAGGUCAUCACCUUUCCAGUUUCCAUCAGUGAUGGAUGGAAAAGAUGAUCGUAAAACAAGUAAAUAACAAAGAGCAUUUCACAAGCUUAAAAAUGGCUAUUUAGUUCCAUUCUGAAUGAUUUAAUAUGUUCCGAGAAUACAAUACCUAUAUCACAGAAACUCUGUGAGCACAUAUGAUUCCUGAGAAAGAUACAACUAUGACACCCUGUCCUGGAAAACAACUAUCACCAACACAGUAGAGACUAUCUAUAGCCUGCAAGGCCCAAAAAGUCAGUCGAAAGUUUACUGGUAUUAUCUCGAGCUUAAAAAAAAGAAAAUCUCACCGUUGUAUUGGAAGGCAUCCCUAAUAAAACUUUUGGUGUUGUUCGUGGCAAAGGCCCCUAGGUCCCACUAUCUCGAGCGAGGAAUCUCCUGUGAGUUCUAGGAGUGCCUACCUAUUAUAAACAGAUAUAUGACUGGGACAAAUAGAGGCAGCACUCUAACAAUAUAAGUUAUGACUAGAUAUAGCAUGCACAGAGAAAUAAUCAGUAGCAUCUAUUGAAAAAUCGGUAUAAAAUGGACACGUUUGCUGACAACACCACUUUGUUUACAAGCAAAUGCUACCUCUUUAUUAAGCACUAUAAUAAGGUUUAAAGUGCCGUGGCACCGGGGCGUGCCGCUGUCUGCCUGCCACAGUACGGCACCGACACGCUUCCGUGCCGACACAUGGUACGCUUGAGUGCCGAUAAAUACGCACGACCUCUUACUGGCACGCUUUGACACGGACUUAUUUUAAUUUUUUUUGUUCCAAUAAACUCUUAUAAUGUUAUUUUGAAAGAUUUAAUCAAAUAAUUAAAAAUAUUUGUUAUGUAUAGCUUACUAUACUCAUCAAUUAAUAUAUUUGUAAGCUUUUUUGUAUGUAAAGUGCAGUUAUACCUGAAGUCCAGCUAGGAUACUAUCGAUAGUACGAAGCAUUUUGUGCUAUCAAGUUUUCUGCCAUUAGAUUUACCUUUUUAUCAUUUUCAUCCGUUUGAUUAUACUAUUCAACUAACCACCUACUCAACCCUAGGAGGGCCACAUCAUCCUCACCUCACAUCUUUUAAUCCAAGGAUAGAAAACUUAAUAGCACCAAGUCAUUGGUGCUAUUAAUAGUAUUCCAGCCUUGUUCGUUAUACCUGAUGCAGAAUAGAAAUUUUUACAGGUUAAAAUUUUUAAAAUGCAAAGGCAUCUUUUUUUUCUUUUUUUUGACAAUAUUACAGUAUUUCUUUUAUAAAAUACAAAAAAAUAAUUUUUAAAAUAAUUUUUAAAAAUUAUUUUUUAAUUAAUUUUUUUAAAAAAUUAGUAGAUCUAUCAAAAAAAAUUAAGCGAUAAAUUAUAUGGCGAAUAAAUUAAAUAAAUUUAAGUAUCAAUUAAUUUAAUUUAACUUUUAAUUUUAUCAGUAUUUUCAAUUUUCUAACGCAAAAAAAAAUUUUACAUUUGAUGUGCCUUAAAAUUUAUUUAUUGAGUCCGAUUUUGUUUCCCUAAUUUGGCAAAAGUUUCGCGGUGUGACAAAUUUUGAUAAAAUAAUUUGUGAAGAAAAAAUGGAUGUCGGUGGUGGAAGUGGAGAGAUUGGAUAUGUAAAUUAAAAAUUUGCCCUAUAUUGAUAAACAAAAAAAAUUAAAUUAUAAUUUUUUUGACUUGCCUAACAAAUAGAUUUUCGAUUUGCAAUAUUUUUUGGGGUUUGUAGGGUACCCAGAAUGCUUCGGGUACCCCAAAAAAUAAAACAAAAAGAAAAAAACAAAAAGCAAAAAAAAAAGCAAAUUUUUAUUUUUUUGCAUAUUGUCGGCACGGCAUUGUGCCGUGGCAUGCAUCGCCGUGCCGCUCUGUCUCGUGCGGCACGGCCCUGCGUGCUUGGGCAUAGAGGGGGGUCUGAGACCCUCCCUGUACCGUGCCCCUUUCUUGGUGGCACGGUACGUGCCGCACCGGCACGGUGCGGCACAGCCGGCACUUGAAUCCUUGAUCUAGAGCAUUUAAAACGUCUAGAAAUCAAAUUUUAUAAUUUUUCGACAUCAUUUACCUUACGAUCAAAAGGUCACAAAAUUGACAAUUUUUAACAGCCGGUAUGGGAUAUUUGCUAGUUUAACGGUGUAAAAUAAUCAAAAUCGGUUGAAUUUUUGGUAGAAAAUUCUAUUCACUACAUGGAUAAAGAUCAAUAACUCCGAUCUUAAAUUGAAGGAUCCGAUCAUCCAUUUUUAAGACGUCGUUCGAUUUUGACCGUUCAUUUUAUACCCACUUGAUGACCUUUAUUAUGAUUUUGAAAAAUUACGAAAUUUAUUUUCUAGAAGCUUCAAAUACUCUAGAUCAUAUUUAACGGAGUGGAUCGUCGAUUCGGAAACUCCAUCAUUGAAAACAACUUAUUAGUAUGAAGGGCUCUAUACUUAUAAGAGUAUAGUAGUCCUAGCCUAUAUAUGUGUGUGUGUGUGUGUGUGUGUGUGUGUGUGUGUGUGUGUGUGUGUGUGCAUAUAUAUGUAUGUAUGUGUGUGUGUGUGUGUGUGUGUGUGUGUGUUAGCCUACUAAGUAGGGUGAUUGACAAAGAGAACAUAUAAGAAGCAACGUGAGCAACUUUUUCUUAUAUUUUCUCUCUAAGAAAGAUAGUUAAUUAUGACUCAAUCUGAGAAACCAAAAUCUUAAAUUUUGAAAAUCGAAUUCAUACGUUAGAAAUUUUUCCUCUUAUAUAGCUUUGCAAGUUGUAAGAUUGUCUCAGUUCUCAAGUUGGGAAAAUAUCAAGAGUUUAUUUAUAGCUUUUUUAACUUUGGCUUUUCACCAAUUUUGUUUUAAUCCAAUGUGCUGAUUGGUUGUGUGAAGAGCCUUUUUUUUUUCCAUAUCCAUGACCUCAGCUUAAAUUUAUUUCCAAUAUUUUUGGGUCCCGUUUUCUAUUUCCUUUUUCAUUGUUGCUUAGCUCACAGAUUCUUUUGUGAUACAAAUUAGAAAUUAAAUGUCACUAAAAGCACAACAUUAUUUAGCACACGGCUAGAAGUGAGCUAGCUUUAUGUAUGUGAUGCCUACCAUGCCUAUAAUUAGGGGUGUGAACGAGCCGAACACUAGUAAGGUGGGGUUGGCUUGUGUUCGGCUCGUUUAUUAAAUAAGCAGAACACGAGCUGGCUUGUUAAAGUAUCGAGCCGAAAAAUUCAGCUCAUGUUCGGCUCAUUUAUUAACGAGCCGAACAAGAGCUGGCUCAUGAACAACAAGUUAAAAGAAUUAGAAAGGAUACAUAUAGGAAAUAAAUUUAUAAGAUCUUAUACAUUAAACUUUGAUUUAAUAGUUGAAACUUUACAUAUAAAUGAGCCUUUUUAUAAUUGAGUUGGGCUUUAUAUUUAGGUUGGCCUAAAAUUCAAAUAAUAAAAAUCUAUAUUAUAUUAUAUAUAAUUAUUUAUUUAUAUAUAAAUAUAAAAUAUAUAAAUUAUGUAAAUAUAAAAUAUAUGUAUUUGAGCUUUAAGCUGUCCAAAAUAUCCAAUAUCCCAUACCCGACCCGGACCCUACCUGGAUCCUACCCGGAUUCGAACCGGAUCUGAUAAAAAAUGGAUAGUAUAUGGGUAAAAAAAAUUACCCAUUAAAGUUUCGUAUGGGUCUGGAUAUUUUAUACCCAUACCCUACUUGGACCCGACCAGGACCAGACCCGGACCCGGACCCGACCUUUUAAUGGGUAGGCCGAAAGAGUUUUUUAAAUCUGGAUCCGGAUCUAGACCCUAACCUAGACCUGGUGAAAUACCUGAUAGUAAAUAAAAAAAUUUAAAGUUGAGGGAUCAAUUUCAAUACGACUUAUAGAUGAAGGGUCUCUGUGUAUUUACAUUCUAGUGAAAACCCUAGUCGUUUUGUUUACUCUUUUUUUUAAAAUUUUUUUAUUUACUCAUUAUUUUUUUAAUCCUAGUUGUUUACUGCUUGAAUCCUUUUUUUGAAUGACUUUUAUUGGACGAUGCAACUAAUGAGGCCGCGAGUUUUCUAUUGUGAGAGGUUUAUGAUUUCUCCAUAAACUGUUUAAUAAAGUCUAUAAAAAAUAUAUGCAUUUGGGUAUCCAUACCCGAUCUAAACCCGACCUGUUUUCGAUCCAUAUCCGAUCUUAAGCGGGUGGUAUACGGGUAGUCACUAUCCAAACCCGCUCACAUAAAUCCGAUGAGUAUAUUAUUAUCUUAAGUACCCAAAGCCAGACCCGAUCCGAAGUUAAAUGGUUAGGGUAUAUAUUUUUUUCUACCAAUUUCUUUUUAGGGUGCGGGUACAGUAUAUCAACUAUCCAGACCCGGCCCGGUCCACGGUCAAGCUGUUAUCGAGGCAAACACGAGCAGGCUGACUCCAACUCGUGUUCGGAUUGUUUAUUAAACGAGCUGAAAAAUUCAGCUCGUGUUCGGCUUGUUUACUAAACGAUCGAUUCGAUCUCGAGCUCAUUUCGAGCCGAACACGAGGUGACUCGCGAAUAGCGAGCUGAAUUGCCACCCCUACCUACAAUGCUAUUGCAAUGAUUUGGGUUGUCUAUGUUGUUUGUUUUUUUAUUUCUUAGCUGCUAAUAGCAUAAUUUGUUAACCUGGUAUUUGUUCUAAUUUAUUUGUCUGCACGAUACGCAUUGUUGAUAUGGACAAUAUUGAAAGAAAAAGUUUGAUCGCGUACCUUCUGUUGCAACAACUUCAUCUUGAAGUAUUGUAUUUAACUUUUAUGUAUAUUCUACUUGCAUACAUCAUGCUAAGAAGGCAUUAUAAGAGACAUGUCUUGAUGAAUAGGACAUGUAAGACGUGAAUCACAGUUAGAUUAUUUACAUAGCAUAAUGGUGGUGGCGAUCAAACUUGUAUUGAUCAAAUAAGAAUGAAUAUAACAUUAAAACUUAAAAAAUUAUUGAAACUUGAGGGCUUGAAAUGUAACAUUCUUAAAACACCAUGGCAUGUGCUGAUUUAAAAUUUUGAGGAUCAAUAUAAAGUUUAAUCUAACGAUUAGGGGACUAGUAAUGCAAUUUACCUAGAUUUUAAUUUAACGAACUAUAAUAAUUCAAAGAGGUUGCUAUCAAAUUAAAAGGGUGUAAAAAAAGAAAAAAAGAAGAGUAGGUGUAGCGAUGCAAAUGAAUCUAGAGCAGAAACUACGAUGUUUUCAUGAUUCGCGACGAAUUUGGAGUAGGAGGUAGAGCAAAAAGUGUUCCACCCCGAAUUCGCUCCGUUAAGAUAUGCCAUGAAUAGGGAUGUUAACUGGUUCGACUUGUGGUGGGUUUUCAAAAACCCGUACUGUAACCUGAACUCGACUCAACUAUCAAACUCGAAACCUGAACCCAAUUCUAAGACCGCUAGGUUAUGAAAAUCCAUAUCCAAAUCUAAAUCCGGCAAAAAGACUGAAACCCAUAACAGAACUCGAAAACCUACCGACCUUUCCUAGUACAAGUGGCAAAGGGCUUGGUGGUUGGUACAUGAGGUCCUAAGUUCGAAUCCUAGUUGAUUCACAUUUCCAGCUAAGUUUAUUUCUAAAUGAAAUAAACAAAGCGGGUAGCAUGCUACCUCUCUCUCUCUCUCUCAAAAAAAAAAAAAAAAAAAAAGGAACUCGAAAACCUGGACCCGAAAAUCCAAACUCGAAUGAAAUCAUUUUUCUUUACCAAAUUUCGAAAUAUAUCAUACUCAAAUCUAAAUUUUCAAAGGUUCAGGAUCGGUAUGGUUUCGGGAUCGGUUAGGAUUUUGGUUCGGGUUCAUAUACUAUUUGAGCUCGGGUUGGAUACAUAUAAAAAUUAUACCCGAAUCUGAAUCCAUCGAGUUUUUAUUUUUUGUACUCGAAAACCAUAUCUAUUUAGCAUUGGUUAAGUCCGUGCCUGUCAACAUUCCUAGCCCUGUAUCUACCUUGUCAAAAUCUGCCUGAAAUCUGGUUAUGUAAUUAACUUAUUUACAAAAAACCUAUUCAUUGUCAAAAACCCUAACCACAAUUUUUUCUCCCCACUUCCACCUCCAAAGUUGCUGUCUCUCUCUCUCUCUCUCUCUCUCUCUCUCUCUCUCUCUCUCUCUCUGCACGCGUGUGUGUAUAGUACAAAUUCGUAGAUUUUAAUUCUAAUAGAAUUCUUUCUUUUUCUAUAUGGAUUUGGAGUCGAAUUUUAAGUAGGAAACAAAAAUAGAUAUAAGUGGGUGGGUAAACCUAUCAUAUGAUAUGAGAUUCCCUACCCCUAAAACCACCACUGGCCCUGAUGCAAUACCACCUUCUCCGCUGCGAUUCCCUGGUACUUUUUUUUUCAAGUUUUUUUAACAUCAGUUGACGAUAUUUGGUUUAUUUCCUAUUUGUUUCCUGGGGAUUAACAUAUAAGUUCAUCCAUCGAGAUGUGUUUCUUCAGUUACCUUUUUCAGUGAACAAUGUGGAGCUUAGAAAAUUUCCUAAUAACUAGCAUCUGUUUUAGUUCUUUUCUGUGGAGCAUCAUGAGUAGCAGUUUGCAAAUUACGUGAAUUGAUUUUAGUUUCAAAAUCUUUUGUUUCGAAUGAAUGGUGUGGGCUGGAUUAUGUAAAAAGGGCACUUCUUUGAUAGAUUUUUAUUAUGUAUGCAAGAACAAAUUCUAUUACAUAUGUGGCCAAUGGGCGUUUCCUUCUUCUAAUGGCUAUAUUUCAGCUCUCGACGCCAAGUCUAGGAGGAGAGUCAUUCAUAUUGAAAGAUUGUAACGUGUAACGGCUAUACACAGUAGAUCAAUUCUGCAGAGAUAUUUCUUCUUGCAGUUUUAUUCCCAUAUAUUUGGGGCCUUCGAAGGGAGAUAGAGACUGCAAAGAGUAGGUGGAUCCGAAUGGCAGAGUAUCUGCUUAGCAUGGGCAUCCUCAUAGACAUUGUGGACGAGGAGUGGAUGCGAGACACCCUCCCCUGUGACGGUCUGACCCCUAUUUCUUGUUAAUCGCACAUCCCAAACCUUGGCUUAGUCAGUUAGUGCCAUUCUAGCUACUCUUUAGUUCUAUGGCAAAAGGCUAACUUUUUUUUCCCCCCUUUUAUCUUUUGGGUUUCAGAGAUCCCGCUUCCGUCUACAAUGGCUGCACGAACCGACGACGCUGAGGAAACGAGUACGCCUCUUUACAAGAUGAAUGUUCUUACAUUAUUUCCAAGCGUGUUAAACAUUGUUCUUGGAUCUUGUCUCUUCACCGUUGAAGUCUGACGAUUUAUUGCUGUAAAUCAAUUUAUUUUCAUAAAUCAAUCUAUUCUAUUAAGAAACUUGAACUCUGACAAUUUAUUGGUUGGAAUUAUUGUGAUAGUCAAAGAUUGGUAAAAUUAUUGUUGUUAUAAUUCUCAGGCAGAAACCUUCUAAAAAUGCUAGUAUCUCUGUUCUUGUGUCUAAGUUUAAUUUUUGUGGUUAUAAACUUGCGGUUUAGUCUUCUUUGAUUUUGCAUGACACUAUUUAUAAUUAUUGUGUCUCAUAUUCUCAUCCUGAUAUUCUAGGAAUGUAUCAAGUGGUAUCCAAGCAAGUUACUUUUUUUGUUAGUUGGUCUUAUCAUGCUCUAGAUGCAUAUUAUCUUAUCUUUGUCAAAUGUAUUAUGCACUUCAUUGAGUCCCUGUUACUCUACUACUGAUUCAUAUCUUCCGUUCAGUGAUUAACGUCAUACUAUAGGUUUUGUUUUUCCCGUGUUAGUAGUGCUUUAAGGCUUUAAGGAUCUAUGGCCAUAUCCGUUAUUUCCUGAUCUGAAAAAUAAAUGCCUUAUUACCUUCUAUUUCAGUUUACUUAAUAUCCCUAAGGGAAUGAUUCAGAAGAGACUGACGAAGUGACAACAUGUGUUACUAAAAUGUUAGGCCAAUUUUAUGGUUUUGGUUAAAUUAUUGUCGCUUUUCAUGUGUGUCUGUAUGAGUGAUAGCCUUUGUGGCAUGCCAUAUGUACACAUAAUCCUUCUCAGGCAAAUAGAGUUCAAGGAGGUAUUGAAAUUGACCUUCAACAUGUUAGAAUUUUUAAAGGGUCCAUUAACACCAAUUUAAUGGCUGUAGGUUUGUUUAUAGUUGAGAAUUAAGAUUGAUGUAGAGAAUUGAUGGUUGGUUGCUCUUGAGUUGUAUGGGAGUUGACUCAAUGCAGUGGAUUAAUUUCGUGAACUAAAUCAAUGCCACCUAUUUUCGUGAACUAAGUCAAUGCCGCCACCUACUAAGGGAACAAAUCCAAUAGUCUAAACUUGAAAGGUCAUGCAAUAGUACCAUGGAAACAAUUGCUUUGAGGUGCUUGAUGUUUUGCAGUUGUAAUAACAGAUUGUUAUGCUUAAUCAUUAUUUGCAAAAACAUUUUCAGUACCUAAUCAUGGUCAUCAAGUCUCUUUACUAAAUUUCUUUCUACCAUCAGAUCAGGAAAGUCAACUGGUGGAGGGAGAUGGCUGGCGUGAUCUUGGACUAGAUAAUAUCUGAAGCUCUUACUUCAUGCAAGGUAUGAUCUGUUUUUCUCAUCUCAGUGGCCAUCACUUAAUAUCCUUUUAUUUGACCAUCUCUGAUCUUAUCUUAGUCAACAUAGUUUGAUCUGAUAUUCUAUUUCUUUUUAUGUCAUCUCAGUCCACACAAUACACAUGCACAACAAAAUGAUCUCAUGCUUUUUUAUCAUUAUCGGGCUUAAAGCAAGUUAAGCAUGGUAAAUGUAACAGCUGAAUUUAUAGUUUUUGUGACAGAAGUCAAAUGUUGUAAUAAAAUUAUGGUAAAAAUUUAUAGAAUUUGCCUAAACUAUGGACUAUUUUGAUUUGACUACUCAACCUUUUAAAAUUUUGAUUUUGUUAUCUAACCUUUCAAUUUGUUUGAUUUGAGUCAGUCAACAGUAGUUUUACUUCAAAAUUUAAAUGCUUCAUUUAUCUUUAUAGGUUUUGUUUGUAUGCUUCAUUUAAUUCUCGCAACCAUAAAUUUUUUAAAGUAAUUAGCUUAAAUUUUGAAGUCAAAGUACCAUUGACUAAUUCAAAUCAAAUAAAUUGAAAGGUUGGGUAGUAUAACCAAAAUUUUGAAAGGUUGGCCGAUUCAAAAUGGUCCAUAGUUUAGAUAAGUUCUGUAUGUUUUUACUCAAAAUUAUUGUAAUCCUAACUGAAACUUUAGCUGUUAAGCAAUUCCAUCAAUAUCUUGUCCUAUGUAAGAACACUAUAAUGUCUUCUCUUGUUUGCUUUUGUUGUUAUUAUGAGUUAAAAUUUAUAAAUAUACUUAGGUUGCCACGUGAUUGGCAGAACACUACAAAGUUAAGAAUAAGUAAGCUAGGAGGAAAAUCAAGAACGUCAAGUAUGCAUGAUUUAGAAUAUACAUCAAAAUAUGCCUUAGUUUAAUAAAGCAACUGCAAAUUGUUUCAUGUCGAAGGCUUACUCAUGCGUUCCACACCUGUCCUCCUUUUUGUGGUGAUUGCUGUGUAGCAAGAAUCUUGUACAUGAAUUAGAAAUCCCAGAGCAAUAUCUACUAUUGCUAGAGCAAAAGGCGUCAAAACAUGUUUAAGUAUAAUGUAUAUCCUCUAGCAAUAGUAGAUAUUGUUUUAGCAAUAUCAUUUCCCUAAUUUGAAAUCCCAAAGCUUGGUAACUAAAUAUCGAUGCUGCAUCUCACAUAUUAGAUACUAAUCAUCAGGCUUCUUUCAGUUGAACAUGAUGAACAGAAGCUUAAAUUACAGUUCUUGUUUUCUGACAGGCCUUUCCUUUGCACAUAUUUCUGGUCUUGGAUCUAUGUUGUGUGGAAUCUGAAUAAUGGUUGUACAAAUGAGAUUCACGCCAAACUGAUGAAUAUUAUCUCGAGAUUCUCGAUGAAGUCAAACUCAUGAAAUGGCAUUUGAUAAGCCUUUGAACAUUGCAAUUUAUAUCAUCUGAUUAAUUAUGUGCAGAAUUUGAUUCAAGGUUGUCAUGUUUGUUUAAAGUGAGUAUCACUUUGUUAUUUUUCAUCUGUUCUCUCUUUGACUUAAUUACUGUUGGAUCUUGUAGUGGCUUCUGCAUGUGCUUUAUUUUUUUUACCCUUUCUGAAACACUCCUCAUGCUUAAAUAGUUAUAUACUAAUAUCCGAUGAAGAUUGCAUAUCAUAUUGUAGGAAACCAGUAUAUUUGAUCGUUUCAUAGUAAUAGGCAAAAAAAAAAGAGAAGCUUUAUUAUGCCUUCAAACAUCAUUUUUAGUCACUCGGCAACCAAAUUUGUUGCUAGAUUUAGUCUGAUAUUUAUGAUUUUCUUCCAUCGUGAAGGUUGUGAACAUGGUUAGUGAUCACUUUGUUCAUUCUAAUGAUGUGACUUUUGAUGUACACCUGGAGAAUGACGAGAAUUUUGGCGACUGGCUAUAAGCCUGUAAUGGAGUAAAACAUGGUUUAAAUAUCUCUUCUAAAUGCUUGAUUGUCCUGUUAAUUUCUGCAUUUAAGAAUGGCAGGAGUUUUCUUUUAAUGCUAGAGAUGAUGUUGACAUUUUAAUUUCCUGGGAAGGUGAAAUGCUGUCAUGCUGCAGAUUCAUCUCACUCGGAUCUAAGACAAACCAGCUGGUCGCAUGUUAUCUCUUAACACAAACAUGAAAGGCCUAAGGGCAUGUUUGGUUCGGGUUAUCCUGGCAGAAUUAUAGGUAAUUAUGUCGGGAUUAUUAUGUUUGGUUUAUCGUCUGUAAUCUGGUGGGUAAUAUAGCAUUACAAAUGAUGUAGGAUUAUAUCGAAAAUAUUACCAAGCAAGAGGUGGGUAUCUCAUAUUACUAGUGAUGGUUGAAUGGUCUCCCGCCGGUUGCUACGCCGGUAUAUUCUCAAGCGGCGAAGCCUAGUUUUAUCGUAUGUUGAUCACCGAGAACAAACCCUGGGGGAUGGUGAUCAACUCAACUUCGAGUUGCCAACUCCCGUUGGCAUGCAUGAAGCAACCUAUACUGUGGCUCCAUAUCAAGAGGGAAUGGAGCAGGGAAGGUUGCUUCUCCAACGGCCACGUAGGGGGAUACGUGGUCUAUUCCCAGAGGUAGGUUCAAGUUCAGUUUUGAACCUACCGAAGGCGCUUAAAGCGUGUAAGCGCAUAUUACUUAAAAUUACUAAGUUUAUCUCUCCAACCCCUAAAUUCUUUUAAUACGCUAUUUUUAAAAUUUUAAUUUAAAAUUUUGGAGAGUUAAAAUUUAAAUUUUAAAAUUUUAAUUUUAAUUUUUAUUUUAAAUUUUUAAAUUUUAAAUUUUAGAUUUAAAAUUUAAAAUUAAAAUUCAAAUUCAAAUUUUACAUUAUUAUUUAGAAUAAAAUUUAGUAAAAAAAUUUAUUAUUUGUAAAUAGUAAAAAAUUUUGCUAAAUAUGACUUAAUAUAAGGGCAAUUUUAAAAUAGGCUAUUUUAUUGUCAAGAUUACUGAAUUUUAUAAAGUAAAUUAAUCAUAGUAAUUCUAUAUACACCGUAAUUCAAUAUUAUAUUACUGUAUUAAACCAACAUAAUAAUGCAGGGGGCUUUUUUUUGCAAAUAGCCCCCUGACAAAUUUUAUUUGCAAAUAUAGCUCCGUCCAAAAAUUAUUUGCAAAAAUGGCCCUGGCUUUGCCACGCCAGCGCCACGUCAGCGCCACGCGGGCAGAGCUGCGCCAGGUGGUUAAGUUGAACACGGUAAACCAUUCAUUGUGUUCAAACACGGUGAAUAGUUCACCGUGUUCAUUGUAUUACUUGCCCCGCUUGAGGGGGUGAAUAAUACAUUAGACACAGUGAUUGGUUCACCGUGUUUAGACACGGUGAACUGUUCACCACGUUUAGACACGGUGAAUUAAUCACCGUGUCCUUUACAUCCAUAACGACCUUGGCCAAAUACGGCUUAGGUGUGGCUAGUUGUAUUGGACACGGUGAAUGGUUCACCGUGUCCAAUUCAGUUAGUUCAGGGUUUAGGGUUUAGCUAUUACCAAGACUUAGCCAUUUUCGGGGUAUAGGGUGGCGUAUGUUGUAUUGGACACGGUGAAUGGAUCACCGUGUCCAAUACCUCAGCAAAAUUUUUGCCGCACAAAAAUCAAUACAAGAUUCAAUACAAGAAUACAAUACAGAUACCUAUCAAUACACAUCACAACACAUCACAACACAUCACAACAUCACAACAUCACAAAAUUAAUACACAUUACAACAUCACAACCAAUAGAAUCUCAAUAAAUUAUCAAUACCAAAUAAUCAAAACAGAAUAUAUAAAAUAAAUGCAAGUUAUACAAUAAUAUAUAAAUAUAAUAUCAUGUUCUCCUCCCUCGACUCUCUCGACCACGUCGCCUACCACGUCCGCGACCACGACCACGACCAACAUCAUGCUCAUCAAAAGGCUCCAAGAUCUCCAACUGGUCUAGAUGUUCUAUAGCAGCACCCUCAAUAACCGGCUCAAUCACAGCAGUAGCAUGUGUCGGUAGUAUGUCUGAUCGUGGAGAAGCUGAAGAGGAGGGCUGAUCUGUACGGAUAGACCUCAUAUGUCGUCGACGCCUAAAAUAAACAAUAUCACCUGCUCGAGCUGGAUCUUGCGGUACUUGUGCUGGUGCCGGGUCCGUAACAUCAGCAUAAAGUGGCUUCUCUAUAGGUGAUGAUGGCCUCGGUGGACUAUAUACGGGUGCAUGGCCGGACGUCGAUGCUCCACCAUAGUCUGCUGGUCCUGGAGGUACAUAGUGUGGAAGCGUAGGUAAAGUCUCCAGAACUGCCUCCAUCUGAUCGGCGACCUGUGAUAGGGUAGCUAAGACUCCACCUCCUGAAAUAACGGACAGGACACGUCUGAUCGUAUAAUAUGAUCUCUGCACGAUAUCGACCUGAAAUAAAAGCACAAUAAAAAAAUAUUAUACGAAACUUUCUUGUAUAUAUAAAAAUUAAUAUAAAAAGAUAUAAUAUAUUACAAUCAUACCAAUACUCUCUCAACGUGCCACGUGGCUGAUACGCGAGUGGUGGCCGCUAUACAGGUGUAGAUAUCCACCUCCUGGUGAUCGUCCAAUACCACUGCAUGUAAACAACGGUAGCUCGUAUCGGAUCUGGAUCUGUCUCUGGGGCCACCUCUGCUAUAUCUAUCAAUCUAUCAUUCCAACGCUGAAUGUAUGAAUCAUGGUAUGCCGCCCAAUCCUCAUCUGCUCUGCCUCGUGAAUUGAUGCGAGGUAUGACAAGCACUGCAUCAGGUAUAUGCAGUAAUAGCCUAAACUGUCGCAGCACACGAUCGGGAUGAUGGAGCUUAAUAAUGUAGAAGCAGACUAAGAUAGUCCUCGAUCGCCAAACCUGGGACCCGGCAAGAUAAAAAGGUGGAAGCGUCUCUAAAACUGUGUCGUCAUAAGGCCUCCAUGUAAUCUAUUGUGAAAAAUAUAUAUGAUUAGUUAUCAAAAUUAAACUAUAUUGCAACUUGUGUUUCGAAGAAAAAUUAAACUAUAUUGAUCUCGUUUUUUGGCGCUACAUUGUAAAUGAACUACUUGCGCUGCUUGAUAAAUGACUACAGCUUAAGUCAUGAGGGGUAUCAUUUAAUUAAUAAUCAGAGUGAGUUCUCGACGCUUGUUGAACGGCAAUGCUGAUAUAUGUAACUAUUGUAGUUAAGCCUUGAUACAACCUUUAGUAUUCCUUACGGUUUAUUGAUUUCUACAAAGUAUAAUGUACGGCUUCAUACGAAGAGACUGUGCAGGUACAUAUAUUGUCAAGUAUAGGUAUUAGCAUAGUUGAAGCUUAUGUUUGUUUACAAUCUUAGAUGUACUACUUUAUGUGUCCAUAGUCCAGUUAAUACUUAAUACUUGUGGAAAAUGUCAAUUCAGGCCUCACCUCUCGAAAAUGUCACUGACCGCUAUAUUUUAUGCUCUAUUAUCUUUACUAGGUUUUAUGCUCUAUUAUCUUUUCAUACAAACAACUAAUUUCUUUUAUGGUGAACAAAAUUUUCAAACUAAAACAAAAUUUCAAUCCCAAAAACUUAGAAUUAAAUACAAAAUUCGACAGAUUGAGUAACUUUUAUUUACCUGAGACUCUAAUUGCUGAUCCAGCUGAUCACGAUAAAACUCAAUGUCAGUAGUCCUGACAUUGUCCCGAAAAGCCAGCCUGGUAUUCCACCUGAUUCAUGUAUAUCAUAUUAGUUAUGAAUAAAUAGUAUAUACAAAACUUAAAAUGAAAAAUUACUUACCGACACCCUAGAGGCAUGUCGACAAGCUCAAGCUGCGGUCCUACUACCUCAGAGCGGCCAAUGUGCAGGUGGUCCCAUGCCCAUAUCUAUACAAAAAUAACAUUCUUGUUAGAAAUGGAAACAAUAACCAUGACUUAAGUAGAAGUAUUGUAAGGGUCCAUGUCGCAAAUUGUACCUGAACUAAUGUCCAAAAACAACAACACUCGACCUUUCCCCUGAGGCAAGCAUUUCCUAGGGCGCGAUAAAGAUGAGCUAGCGCGGCUGCACCCCAUGCCAACCCACCACAAAGGUCAAAAUCAUCUAGAUGUGGCAACCAUUUCAAAUGCACCCUAUUCCCGCUUGGAUUUGGAAACAAAUUACAUUCUAUCUGAAAUAGUAUAUAUGCUCUCGUCGUAGCUCUAACAAUAGCGGGAGGUGCGUCUAAGGGGAUAUCAUGAAACUGCUGAUAUAACCAGUUUAUCUUGAUCUCACCACCCCUAAUAUCCUGCGGAACCACCCCGAGAAGGAACCCGCAGAGUUUUGCCCACUGAUAGGAUCCCCCUCCAGUCACAGCCUCACCAUCGACGGGGAGUCCCGUAAUAACUGCGACGUCCAUCAAUGAAAUACUCAUCUCUCCAUGUCGCAAAUAGAAACUCUGUGUCUCCCGCCGCCACCUCUCGACUAAUGCUCCCAAUAAUGACUGAUCGAGCUGUAGGCGGCGCAAUCGUGAAACGUAAUAAAAUCCUGCUCGUCGCAAUAAGUCCAACACCGCAGGAUGCUCGCACUGCCAUCUGUUCAUUUUACGGCCAUGCUCCGUAAAUUGAACAGGAGAAUAUCCCUGCAUGAUUGUGAAAGCCAGCUCAAAAUUAGUACAUAAGUUAAAGAAGAUCUAGGUAAAUUUGAAAUGUUUUAAAAAAAUUUACCUCCUCUCUGAUCAAAGUAGAUCUAUGUCGUGGCUGCUCAGUCAACACGGAUGUAUUAAUAGGUCCCGGCUCGUCAUGAUCGUCCAUCUGAAAUUGGCAAAAAAAAAAACUGAGUUAGAAACAACAUGAUGUAACAUUAGUGCGUAAGUAUAAAAGAUUAAAGAAGUUAAGUGUCAUAUUCAUAUAGAAAAACCUAUCGACGACGCCUCUCGGUUCUUCUUUGCUGAUUUUCAGGACAAGUGCUUUUAUAAUGUCCAGGCUGUUUACACAUACUACACUUGCCCCUCCUAUUCCCACUGGCUUCGUCCAUAACAUUACGGAUACGCGUAGAUCUGGGUCGUCCCUUUUUUCUUCUCCCGCGUGGUGGCACUAUAAGGAAAUCAUAUGACGCGAUCCAAUAACGACGAUCGGGUACGGGGUAGAAUUGCGGUUCAUAAGCCUUACAAUAUGAUGCGACAGUAUACCAAGGAGAACAUAAGUCAUAAUAAUCUAUGUUCAUGUGUGAUGAACUACAACAUGACAAAAUGUGUGAACAAGGGAUUCCUGUGAGUUGCAAACACAAACAUGAACAUGUAGAACUGCUUCCAUUGAUAGUCACUUGGUAUUGAUCAUCCCCGCCAAUAAGUAUGUUGAACAUAUGAAAUGCAAAUCGUUGAACGGUAUAUCCUCUCGCACUUCUCAUCCGGCUAUUGAUGGUUUUUUCAACAGUCGUGACAAACUGCGUGGACAUUGCAGCGCCUUCUGUCCGAUGUUUUAGAAAAAAUUCAACCACUCGAUGAAAUGUUGCCAUCACAAAAGCUGUAAUUGGUAAGGCGCGAACUCCCCUCAACACCCCAUUUAAACUUUCCGAUCGGUUAGUUGUCAUAAUACCAAAUCGUCGACCACCAUCAAAAGCUUUAGCCCAGUAUGUCCUAUCGUUAUGAAGAUUGUCAACCCAACGCCAAGCUUCUUCAUCCAUAGCCUUCAAUUCUUCCUUUAAUGCGUAAUAUUGCCGUUCUUCUGAAGCACUCCCAAUUCGAUAAAAAAUUUUAAGUAAGUGUUUUCCUUUGAAAUGAAUAUUCAUAUUGGCCUUCAUAUGUCGUAAACACCAUCGAUGAGCAUGACCUUCAGAUGGUGGGAAUACAAGUGCAACGAGGUUCGCUAGGUCUUUAAAACGAUAUGAAAUUAGUGUAAUAACUCGAGAUCUUGUUAUAUACCUUCUUAGGCAACUUAAAAAUCACUCUCAACUCGAGCCAUUCUCCCCCUCACAAAUUGCGAAAGCUAGCGAAAAUAAACCACCAUUGGCAUCGACACCUGUGGCAAUUAAUGCGUGAUUUCCGUAUUUUCCAUACAGAUGAGUAGCAUCGAUACUAAGUAAUGGCCGGCAAUACUCCCAACUAUGAAUCGAUGGUCCAAAAGCCCAAAAGGCUCGUGAAAAUAUUCUCGUAUUGCUCGCCACACUAAUAUAAUCAAUCUUUGUAAUAGUUCCUGGAUUUGUUGAUUCCAACAUAGAGAAGUAUCGAGGAAGGUCGCAGUAUGAUUGCUCCCAACUGCCGUAUAUAAUUUGUAGUGCUUUAUUCUGUGCCCGCCAAGCCUUGCUAUAUGAUAUGCUAACGUGUAACUCGCUCUGAACUCGGGCUUGAAUUUUCAUAGGACUCAUUGUAAGUCUUGCCUUCAGUGUAGGUAGUAUAAAUUGACAUAUGAAAGAUGAUGUACAGUUUCGAUGUCUUGUCUUUAGAAUUGGAACUAAACAAGUGUGCGGACCUUUAUAAGUCUUUACUUUAAAAAAUGAACUACCUUUCGUCCGAGAGGCAUGUAAUCUCCAUGGGCAAGAAUCGACUACAUAUCUCACAGUAUAUCUAGUUGUAUUUGACUUAACAACUUUAAGCUGCACAUUAUGUGCAAUGUGCCAAAUGUCCGAAGCCCUUAUUAGCGAUGAUUUAUCAGAAAAAGUCCGAUUAGCCCAUGCUUCAUCACUUGGAGGACCCUGAUCAAUAUUUUGUUCACUAUAUGCAUCAACAACGCUUUGAUUAAUUAAUUCAUUACCCAGGAUAAACCGUUGUCUUUGAUCUUCAAAUUCCACGAAUUCCACCGGGUCCGGUACAUCUUCGUUGUUGACAUUUGAGUUUUCAAUCCAUUCAACACCUUCAUCUCGAAUGGCGUAUGCGAGGGCAUUCAAGCCACCGUCAUGAUCAGGAUCCAAAGAACACGCAACAAAGGAUUCCUCGUCAUCACUAGAAUCAGCAUCAAUUCGCCCUUGAUCCUCUUCAUCAGUUUCACUAACAUACUCCUCAUCACUUCUACUUACGUCCAAUAGAUCAGUUGUAGUCACUCCCCGAUUAGUCCAUUCACGAUGAGUAGAUGAUGGACCUUCAUUUUAAUAAGGAGGGUUAGUAUUUCUUAUUUCCCAAGCCGGCCAUUCAUGAACACUAGAUGAUCCUGGACCUUCAUCUAAUAAAGGAGGGGUAGUAUUCUAUUCCCAAGCCGGCCAUUCUAGACACUAGAUGAUCCUGGACCUUCAUCUACAUAAAGAGGGCUAGUAGUAUUUUUAUUCCCAAGCGGCCAUUGAUGAACACCAUUGUAUGGACCUUCAUUUGAUUAGGAGAUAGUGGUUCUGACUUCCCAAUCCGUCUAUUCUAUGAACAUAAUGAUGUGUCGUGGACUUUGAUAAGGAGGACAGUAGACCUUGUAGAGAUAUAUAAGAUUAACUAUUCACAUUGAUUUUUUAUGUAACUAAAUCAUACAAUCACCUACCACUCAUUUUGAUCAACAACGGAGACGGAUCAUCACAGCAGAUGCAAUGCUGCACUAACUGGCUGAGAUGGGACUCCAAACUCUCUGGAAUACUUACAGACAAAAUUAUUAAUUUCGCGCCCUAAACUAAUUGAGAAAUAUGAAAAAGAUUUAUAAAGAUCAUUACUUUAUACCUUGAUGUACGACUCGUUCGCGAUCAACGUAAUUCCUUUGAUCAUUGCUGCGUACGACGCAUUUUCGUUGAUAAACGGUAUUUGGACGGUCGCCUGUGCGUCGACCCAUCUUUUCCACGUAUAAUUUUAUCAUCCAUGGAACGGAAAAAUAUCAUCACGCCAGAUUAGUGUUAUGUCAUUUGAUACGUUAACAAAUUCCCAUUUGUCUCCCAUUGGACAUUUCAUCGUGAUCGUAGACGUCUGUCCACUCGAUCAUAAUUAGUAACAUUGUAUAUUUCCAUCUCUAAAUCUCGAAAUGGAGUAUGCCGUCGGACGCCAACCAAUUCUUUACGGCCACCAAUAUAUCGUGGUACAUUAUUGUUCUCCGAUUAAAAUUUCGUCCCAAUGGAUAUAGAAAGAGAACAAUGUCGCCAGUAUAGAGUUCAAGUAAUAUAUUAACUGUAAAAAAUUAUUAAACUCAACAUAUCACAUUUUUAAAACAACAAAAGAGGGGUAAAAGGAUGGUAUUACCAUUGUACAAGCCACGGUCGCGCGGACUACUUUGCCAAUUAAGAACGCGCAGGAAUGAUCUGUGACAAAGAUGACCGAGAACAAUCAGUUAAAGGGGGAGGGGGGCUUGCGAGUGGAAGGCUUCUCACAGUGAGAAGCCUCACACAGUGAGAAGCCACUGUAGGGGGGGGCAGUGGGAAGGCUUCUCACUGUGAGAAGCUAUGGAGUCGUCUCACGGAGGGAGGUGGGGGCUUCUCACUGUGAGAAGCCUCACAGUGGCUUCUCACUGUGAGAAGCCACUGUGAGAGUGCGGGAGGGGAAAGGGGUUCUCACAGUGGCUUCUCAGUUGUGAAGCCACUGUGAGAGUGCUUGGUAGGGGGGGGCAAUUCUCACUGAGAACCACUGUGAGUGGUGGUGGUGGUGUGGGGGGGGUUUCACUGUGAGAACAACUGUGGGGGAGGGGGGGGGGGGUUCUCGCUGUGAGAGUGUUGGGGGGGGCUUCUCACUGUGAGAAGCCUUCUCACAGUUGUUGGGGGCGGGGGAGGGACGGGGGGCUUCUCACUGUGAGAAGCCCUCAAGAGGCGGUGAGGGGGCGGCGGCUGUGUGGGCACACAGGAGGCGAGAGAGAGAGAGAGAGAGAGAGAGAGAGAUGCUUCUAGGGCUAGAGAGAGAACGAGGAAGGGAGCUACCUCGGGCAAUAAAGGGCGGCGGUGGCGGCGUCGGUCAGAGAGAGAGAGCAAGAGGAAGAGAGCGAGAGAGAGAGAUCGAGAGAGAGAGAGAGAGAGAGAGAUCGAGAUAGACAGAGUUCGGGGGGUGGGGGGAAGAAGGUUAUUCAAAGAGAACACGGUGAAUGGUUCACCGUGUCUGGACUAUACUGAACACGGUGAACCAUUCACUGUGUCAAAUAGAGACAACCUACCCGCAAGAGGCUAUGUCGCUGGUAUUUAUAUUGGACACGGCGAACAGUUCACCGCGUUUAGACACGGUGAACAGUUCACCGUGUCCAGUAGAAAUAACACCCCGACUAUUUCUAUUGAACACGGUGAUUGGUUCACCGUGUUUAGACACGGUGAACAGUUCACCGUGUUCAACUUGAACACGGUGAUUAGUUCACCAUGUCUAAACACGGUGAACCAAUCAUCGUGUUCAACUUAACCACCUGGCACAGCCCUGCCCGCGUGGCGCUGACGUGGCGCUGGCGUGGCAGGGCCAGGGCCAUUUUUGCAAAUAAUAUUUGGACGGGGCUAUUUUUGCAAAUAAAAUUUGUCACGGGGCUAUUUGCGAAAAAAGCCCUAAUGCAGGAUUAGUAGUAAUCUGAUUCAGAAAUUUCAGCUAUCUUGUUAUGUCGAAAUAACCUGUAAUACUAUAUAACAUGAACCAAGUGCACCCUAAUAUUAUUCUCAAGCAUUCAGAGAUUAGAUUUACAAAUUUUAGUUCAGUGAAGCUAAUCAAAAUACUUAAACAAAUCGAGCAUACAACAUGGUUAUAGUUCACUAUUGUUAUUGGAAACUGAAGAAAUCAUGACAUUUCAUAAUCUUCAUCGAUGGAAGUUCACCAAAAGUUAAAACAGAAAAAUUAAAUUAAGUUGGUGCUCCAAAAAUUUAACUAUGGCGUGUUCUUUCCCUGACAUGUUCCCUCUUACCUGCCACUGUUGAACCUAAUAUUUUGAAUUAGUCCUCAAAAAAAUAGCAAAAAAAUAAUAAGAAAGAGAAUUUUAUUAGACUAAACUUUGAGUCGUAUUUGAAAUAUUGGAAAGUGAGGAGGCAUUCGUUGGGCUACGAUUUUAGCCAACAAGAUAUAUAUGUAAAAAAAAUAUAUGAAAGAGAUAUUUUUUUGGCCAGAGCUCUAGGUCCACCAAUAACUAAUUAGAAAAUGGGGCACGAAUAAAUAAUUAGGAAAUGGGGGUGGGGAUAUCCACGGAAGGAUACUUAGGGAGUGUUUGGUUCGGCCAUUUUUUAUCAUGGAAUCGGAAUCGGAAUGGACGAAUCCGUUUGUCCAUAUUUGGUACGUGGGAUUUCCAUUCCCAUUCCGAUUUCCAGAUGAAUGGGAAUCCCCUCAAUUACUCUUUUUUCAAUUUGGUCUAGGAGACCGGAUUGGAAAUUGAAUUCGGACAGAAUGAAUUUGUUCAGAUUAAAUAUAACUUUUUAAACUUAUUUUUUAAUUAAAACAUAAGUUUAAGUUAAAAAAUUAUAUUUAUUAAUUUAAAUUUUAAUAUGAUCUUAAAUCUAAUUUAAAUUUUAAAUAAAAUUUGAAUAAAAUUUUAAAUUUAAAUUUAAAAUUUUAUGCAAAUUUCAUUUAAAAUUUAAAUUAAAUUUAUGGAUCCAAAUUGAAAUUGAAAUUAUAAUUUUAAUUUUGAAUUUGAAUAAUCGAAAUUUAGUUUUAUAUUUUGAAUUAUCCGUUGAAUUUCAAAUUUUAAUUUUUUUAAAAAAUAUAUUUAAAAUUUUGACAUCAUUUUUAAAUUUUGACAUAAAUUUUUAAUAUUUAAUUUUCAGUUUGGAUUUAAAUAUAUUAUAAAAAUAAAAUUGACAUACUAAUUUGAUUACGUUUUUUAUAUCUAUCUUGAUCAAAUACCGAUAAUGGAAAUGGUUCAUUCCGAUUUCUAUUCAGGUGGCGAACUAAACAGAAUCAGGUAAUGAAUCAUUCCGAUUUCGUUUUCAACUUAUUUUUAUUCUUAUUCCGAUACCGAUUCAGAUUUCGAACCAAACGGAUCCUAAAAUUUUAUCAGAACUCAAACCGUAAUAGGGCGGGUUUAUUUGAUGCUAAUAAAUAGAUAUGGUUUGAAAUACGAAUAUAAGAAAUAAAAAUUCGACGAAUUCAGAUUCAGAUAUAAUUUUUGUCUAUACUCGACUCGAAUCUGAACAAAUUUUACAUUAUAUAAUAUUUAUGAAUGUUUGAUAUUAUAUUUGAAUCUGUAUUUUCGAACUUUAGAUUUUAAAUAAUAUGCUUUCAAAUAUGCUAAAGAAAUAUGAUAGUUUCGGGUUUUGGUUUUCAAAUUCAAAACUUGGGAUUCUAGUUAGAUUCGCUUUGGAUAUGGAUUUUAAAACCCCUCGGCUUCGAGUUCAGGUUCGGGUUUGGGUUUUAGUUUUGGUUGUCGGGUUUAGGUUCGGAUUUUUGGAAAUUGCCAUGAAUUCGAUCUUAUUGAUAUUUCUUAAUGGGGAAGUAUAUUUUGUGGUUGAUAAGACCAUAUUUGAAAUUAGAUAUUUUGGGCUUCCCAUCUUAAGCGUAAUUUUUGAAAUCAACUAAUUGGUUGAGAAAGAGAAAUGUUCACUACAACAAAAACGGUGUAUAACGACACUUUUAAAUGUCGGUACAGGUCAAAAAAAGUACUGUGGGUUAAAUUACCGAUACUUUUUAAAAGUGUUGCUAGAUGUGGGGUCACUAUAUGUCACGCCCUGAGACCGCUACCAAUUUGGUCCGGUUCGGGCGCGUCGAACAGACGCCGAACGGACAGUACCUCCCUUGUCUGCUCAAGGCUGAAGCACGGGAUCAUGUACAAGAAUUCGCCCAGAAACAAUUCAACACAUACGUGAUCCAUACAACGACAAUAGAAGCACUACAAGUGCUUAACAAUAAGAGCAAGUAACAUAAGUAUACAUACAAGUGCAAAAAGAGAGAAUUCUAUCUAUUACAUCACAUUCAUCCACAAUUUACACUUUGUUUCAUCCAAAAUAUAGGUACAAGCUUAUUCACAUCUUUCCAAAAGGUAUCUUACAACCUAUACAUCUACUCUCAUACAUGUAGGUAUCUCUAAUGCAGUAGGAGAGCUACUAAUGCUAGGGCGCUAAGCCCUUACCGUGAUCCUCGUCCGGAGCGCUCGUACUCGGCCCUGCAACAAAGUGGGGUGAAAACUAUUGUCCAUAGUUCCCAGUAGGUUCGGCCGCCGACUCCGCCGAUCUCCCCACUAGGUCCAAGUGGGCACAAGCAGAUAGAUAGAUAGAUAUGUGAAAACAAUAACGACAUAGUAAGAAAGAUAUGCUACUAUGCCCAAAUCAUAUGCAAUGUAUGCAUGCACAAUGUGAUAGGCAAUCAACUAACAUGCCACUAUGUCCAAGAAGUAAUGCUAUUUACUUGUUCAUCAAUUCUCUUGACUUAUCCAAUUCUUGGCCAACCCUGAGGUUCGCCCACGACUCACAUGCAUCUCGUGGGUAAGGAGACUCAACUCGCUCAGCAAACCCGAGACCGUCUGCGGGACCCCAUAAGGCUAUCCCUCGUGUGACAAACUCCGGAGCGCACGCUUGUGUGGACCGUCCACCACAAGCUCUGAACAGACAGUGAAUAUGAUCCAAUCCUCUCAACUCGAGGAUACCCUAUCCACUAGGGCUAACAGUCACUCGGGAAUCCACCUAUCCCAAUGUCCAUAUGCAAGUGUUUAACUACACUAAGUUCUUGUUCAAUGACUCAUCUCUAGGGAAUCCGCCUAUCCCAAAGUUCACAUGUCAAAUGUCACCUUGCACUAAGUUAUAUGCCACUCGUUAUGUUGUUAUUGUUAUUUAUAUGCCACUCGUUAUGUCUUUAUCAAUCAUCGAGUCCAUCUUUUAUCUUAGCGCUAUAAGAUUCAAUGUCUCGACCCAAUCCUUAUCUAUCUACUAUAUCAAGCAUUCAACUCACAUUGUGAUAUCAUCUAGAAAAGCAUAAGGAAAUGAAAAUGCACAUUUAUCCUACAAUGCAUAUAUGUAAGAGAUGCAAGAUUACAAUGCACUAAGACAUAAAGAGGAGCCCGGUUGCUUCGGGAUGACACCACCCACCUUCUGAGGUUGUCACGACUCUAGGAAUGCGAUUCGGCGACUUUACGAUGUUGUCUCGGCCUCCCAGGCAGAAACGAAGCUCGGAAGGUCCUUAUUGCCAAUAACUUUGCACCCGCUCGACGAAUCGUCGAACCAUUUUCGCCAACGCGUUUAAACACCUAGCAAUUAGGUUUACACUUGAUCAAUUUAGAUCAAUACCCAACAAAUCACAAAACCCCAUUUUGGAGCCCUAACUUGCAGUCAUGCAAGAUUCCAUCUCUAAAUCUCCAAACUCAUGCAUUAAACACUUAUUAAGCAUGCUAGAGUUCCAACUAAUUCAAUUCUAGAGUAUAAAAUCCAAACCCUAGAAAUCUACCAUGGUUGAGCUUCAAGCUUACCUCCAAAAGCUAGCUCCAAUGGUGAAAAGGAGGAAGAAGAUGAUGAAAACCCUUCUCCUUGCUUGCUUCUCCACCAAAAUCCUUCUCUUCUUCACCUUCUAGAGAGAGAGAAAGAGAUCUUAGAGAGAGAGAGGCUUUUAGGUUUAUGUUUGGGAAAGAAAAUGAGAAGAGAGAGAGAGCACACUCUCAUAUAGCCUCCUCUUAUGCUACAAAUGCAUAAAAGCCCCUCAACUUGUCCACUACGACUCAGCCCAUCCAGGGCAAUUUUGGGCUACGGGGACCGGUCUCUCUAAGAGGGACCGGUCCCCGAGAGUGGCUUAUUUAACAGAAAAGGGCCUUUGUCCCCUUUUCCACGCUUACGGGGACCGGUCUCUCCAACGAGGGACCGGUCCCCGAGAGCACACUCUCGCAGGAAAGCCCUAUUGUCACUUUGCAUACCUACGGGGACCGGUCUCUCCCGCCACGGACCGGUCUCCGAGAGCAAUUUUGUGCGUAGAACCUUCUGCCACAUUUUCCAAGCUACGGGGACCGGUCUCUCCCACCAGGGACCGGUCCCCAAGAGCAAAGAUUUUGCACUUUGCAGAAUCUUCACAACUCGCUCUCGGAGGCCUUCUCCAAUGCACUUUUGGCCUUUUUGAUGCCUUCGGACUUUCCGAAGCACACCAAGUUGAUAAUCAGUCGAUUCUAACCGAAGUUUAACUCUCGUAUUUCGAGAAUUCACUUUCUUACAUCCUCCUCACCUUUAAAAGAGUUUCAUCCUCGAAACGAACUCAAAUCUCAACUAAAGCUCAAACUUACUCAUACCUUGCUCACUCCCCAAAAAGAUAAGGGUGCUGCGCUUUCAUUGCGUCCUCAAGUUCCCACGUAGCUUCGCGAUCGUCGUUGUCACGCCCCGCGACCACCCGCCUAUUUGGCAGGGUCGCGGCGCAUCGACAGACCGCCGAACGGACAGAGUUUCUCCUGUACGUCCUAAGCGUCGCAAUCUAUACAAUACGAAGGUUCCAACCAGGAACUGAUAUCAAUCAAGAUUGCAUAAGGAAGUAUCAAAUAUAAAACUACUUGCUAUUACAAGCAUUCAUAAUCAUACACGUUACAUCACAUUUCAUUUUCUUUUACAUUGGUCUUCCAAAUACAAUCUGAGUUAUUACAUCACUUUACAGGUUUGAUACAUUUUAUUUCAUCGUCCUCUAGUCCCCUAAGCUAGACUGUCUCAGGGUACUGCUACCUCGGUCUCUGGGUAGGGCGCUAUCUACGGAGCUACGCCUUUGCCUCGCGCCGCCGCGCCGCUCAAGUGCGAACCUGAAAUACCCCAAAACAACGUGGGGUGAGAACCAACUCCAUGGUUCCCAGUGGGUACGGCCAUCCAAGGAAAAAGCUCGACCAAUAGGUCCCAGGAGGCACUGCAACAUGUUAGUUCAAUAAUAUACAACAGAUAUAUAUAUUCGAUAUUGAAAUACAUGCCAUGCCUCACAAUAUGCGAUAUGAAAAUCAUGCAACUCUAGUAGAUCAAUUGAUUCUACAAUUUACUUGGCUAAUUUUAGCUCAUAUCAUCCAACUCUAAGGUUUCUACUACCUUAGGAUUACACUCAAGUCCACUAGCAUUUAAGGUCUCUAUUACCUUAGCUCUUGCCUCAAUCACUAGCUUACAAGGUUCCCACUACCUCUAUCAAGCUAACCACCCGACUCGGCUCUGAGUCAAUCAUCCGCGGAUAGUCCGCGCAUUGGCUGCUCAACAGCCUACCGCCCUCUGAGACUCAGCCUCUUAGCGGCGAAAUCGUCGCACACCCUGAACUCGGCUCGAGUCACUUGACAUAGCCAUUCUGGCGGCGAACACGGUAUCCUUACCCAGCAUGGACUCGAGUCAUGAUUUAGCCAUCUGGCGGCGAACUCAUCGCUCUCACCCAACAAUGGUUCAAGUCACGACUCGGCCAUCUAGCGGCGCAUGCAUCGCUCUUACCCAGCAAUGGUUUUAGUUCAUCCUGGUGGUCUGAUCCACAUUCGGCUUAACCACCUGGCGGCGAAAUCGUCGCACACGCCCAGCCGUGGUUCAAGCCUAGGGCGGUGAACUCCAUGCGUUCACCCCCAAUCCUCCUCAGGUAUCAACCUCAGCGGCGAAGUCGUCGCACACGCCCUAGCCUUGAUACCAGGAUCAUCACAGGUCCUGGGAUUCCGGAAUCCACUUCCACAGGUCGAGGGUCCGUAUCCAACCCUAAGCUGUCGACCUACAACAUCCUAGUGGCUGCUACCACUAUGCUCAACAACCCAGGUUCAAUGUCAUUCUAGGUUUACUACACAUCAUGACCUAGGUCUUAACACUCUAGGUCCUAUGUCUCUGUCACAUAACCUAGGUACAAACGCUAGGUUUUGUAUCAUCUCUACCUAGAUGUCAACUUCUAGGUUCACUUGUUCGACCUAUGUUUACUAACACUACGUUCGAUACCACACACCUAGGUUUGUUCGACUCUAGGCUCACUUGUUCAACCUAUGUUCUUUAACACUAGGUUCGAUGCCACUCGAUCUAUUCGACAUCCUAGUUGUCCAAUCGAGUAUUUCACACUACUAUGUCCACUGUCGAGUUCUUUACUCACUCUAGGAUCAUCAGUCCCAUUCAUAUGCAUAUCCUCACAAUGCUACUCAUGCAUUUGUGCAGUUAUCUAGCAUUUACAUAUCAUGCAUUCUAUAAUCUCUAUAUCAUAUUAUAUGCAUCUACUUAGCAUUUUGCAUCAUAUUAUCCACAUGCAUUAUUUAGCAUUAGCUACAUGCCUCAUUUACACUUAUAUGCAUCAACAUGGAUUCUUAAUUUUCUUAGACAUACAGGCGACCUAGUCGCUUCGGUAAGCACAACUCACCCUAGCUUGCUUUCUGCUUGCUUGUCGACACUUACAAUUGGCCUCCCGCGGCACUCGGCACCCGAUUUGGCCCGAUCUUGCAGUUGCGCCUCAACCGCGCGUCGCUUCGCAGUUCCAAGAAUUAAAGGUCUUCGUUUAUGUGCCACAGUGCUCGGGAUCCACUUUCAUGAUUUAUGGACACCGCCUCGGCCCUCCAGGCGGAAAUGAAGCUCCGAAUGUCCGUUUCUUCAAUAUCUUCGCGUAGGCUCGACGAAUCGCCGAACCAACUUCACCAACGCGUCGGAAUACCUAGCAAUUAGGUUUACACACCCUUAAAUGAGAUCAAACUCAUCUAUUUACAAAAAUCCUAAUUUGAAGCCCUAGGUUUGCACUAUAGCAAACAACUCCAACAAAACUCUAGAUUCUAGCGUUAAUACUCUAUUAAGCAUGCUAGAACACAAAUAAAACCAUUUCUAGAGCAAGAAAUACAAACCCUAGGUUUCUACCAUUAUAGGAUUUAGAAGCUUAUCUUUUUAAGCUUGCUCUAAUGGUGAGAGGAAGAAGAAGAUGAUGAUGGUGAUGAUGAUCCCCUUCUUUUCCUCCUCCUUCUUCCUUUCUUUCUUUCUUUUUUCUUUCUUCCUUUUCUUCACGUACAGAGAGAGAGAGAGAGCGGUGAGAGAGAGUGAGGGAGCAGUGAGGGAGUGAGAGAAAGAGAGAGGAAAUCCCUCUCUUAACCCCUAUAUUAUAACAAUAUGCCAAUAAGCCCCUCCACUUUUCCAUAUGUGCACUGCCCAAACUGGGCAUUUUUCGCGCGGAGGGAUCGGUCCCUCCUCGGGAGGAUCGGUCCCCGAGAGCAACUCCCCGCAACACGCGUACGGGGACCGGUCCCUCUAGGGGAGGACCGGUUGCAUCGGCGCCUGCCGCAACCAUCAGCUACGGGGACCGGUCUCUCCUGCGAGGGGGACCGGUCCCCGAGAGCAGAUCGGCCAACUGCAGAUUUUCCACUAAUUGCUCUCGGGGACUCAACUCCAAAGCACUUUUUGUGUUUUGGGCAUCUUUAGCUUCUCCGAAACCUACCCACUCGAUAAUUAGUCGAUACAGAGCGAAGUACAACUCUCGAAUUUCGAGAAUUCACUUCCUUACAUUCUCCCCUCCUUAAAAAGAGUUUCGUCCUCGAAACUCACUCAUUCAUAAAAUCCUAUUCACCCCUCAAUUCGACUCAUUAAUUAAUCGAGGGUUCCAAUGCACUUUCGCACUCCGGAGUGGCCUUUUUCUUAUCGGAAUCAUCCAAAGGUCCACUACGGAAGAUGUGAGACCAGAUUCACUCACAUUUAUUAGGUGUAACAUCGAAAGUGCAUUACGGCUUCACAAGCCUCGGUGGUAGUGUAAGUCAAUACUCAUGACUCCACACGCUCUAACACCACCUGCUAUUAGGCUCAAGAAGGACUUAUUCCUUCACAGUUCUACUAAACAUCACCAUUCCUCAAGAUCGGGACUACCCUUCGUCCUUGUGGUGUGGAUCUAGCAGAAUCGCAUCAACCAGACGAACGAUCCACCACCACUACACUAUGCGCACGGGUAGACCCUCUCGAACUACUCAAGCAUUCACAAAGUGGUACUCCACCACUUUCGCUAUCCUAGAGUCUGCCACAACUCUUCCUUGUUAAGGAUUUUAUAGGUUGGCGAAUUUCGUAAAGUUGUUUGGAGUCUUGAAGAGUUGAUCACAGAAGUUUUUGAGAAGAGAUUCAAAUUGGAGGACGAAGACUCAUUCGGAAAGCUCGACACCUAAGGUAUGAAGAAAAGAUCAUUUGUGGUGAAGAUAUAUAAUUAGAAUAAGUUCAGAAGGCUUAGAUUGCUUUAAAAUAACUUUUCUGAACUUUCAUGUGUUAUGGGACCGGUCUCUGAGAUGGAGAGACCGGUUCUCCUAAGGUCCUCACUGCGUAAACUGUGAUGCAACCGGUCCCCUGUGAUGAGAGACCGGUUCCUGAACCAUGGUGCUUCUGUCGCGCAGCGAGGGACCGGUCUCAAGUUUGAGAGACCGGUUCCCGAACGUUGGGUUUUUGGUCACGCAGAGAGGGACCGGUUCCUCACUUGAGAGACCGGUCUCUCACAGACCGGUCUCCUCGAGAGGACCGGUCUCUGAGGACGACACAGGUUUUUGAAAACGACUUUUUGCAAUCCUAGUCUACUUCUAAGUCUUCUAAACAUAUAAAUAAGCUAUGUGGGCCGUCUAAAGUUAAGGCUUUUGAAUAUUUUACCAAUUCCAAACCCUAGAAACUCGUUUUCUACGCUUCGAUUUACAUGAUGAGUUUCUAGCAAUCAACAUCGGCUUGAUUCUUCGUUUUUACUCGAUACUUCUUACGAGAAUCAAGUAGAUGAUUGAUUAAAGGUGAACCCUCAUAGCUUAUGGUUUUCAAAAGUUAAAUCACCGCAAAUCUUCAAUUCUACAAGCUCCGGAAGGAGGUUCGGCGCGUGGAUCUCGCGCGAAGCCGAGGAUUCGGUGGACGCUUCGAGGAGUUGAGGCGUUGACGCUGCGAGGAGUUGCAGCAAGGUCGAUUGGUGGAUUCCUAUCGAUCGAGGACCGGCAAAGAUCACCGUCAACGAGAAAUCGGUAAAUUGAGUCGUGUGUUUUUGGUCGAAAUCACUUGUACUCAAGUUUUCUUAGUGGAUUUUCUUUGCGUGAUCGGUCCCGUGGGUUUUUCACUCCGAAUUGGAGUUUUCCCACGUUAAAUUCUCGGUGUGCUAUUUUAAUUUCCGCUAUUGUGUUUGUUUGCAUCGAGAUUUUUCGAGUUUGCCGGAUUUACACCUAUUCACCCCCCUCUAGGUGUUACUUACCUUUUAGAUCCUCGGGAUCCAUAACUUACAAGUGGUAUCAGAGCGGGUAUAGGUUGUAACUCAUGGCUGAGGGCGGUAACAUCAAUCGACCCCCUCUCUUCGAUGGAACUAACUAUGCUUAUUGGAAAGUCCGUAUGAGGGCGUUUCUUAUUGCUAUCGACGAGAGGGUUUGGCAAGCCGUUGAAUUCGGAUGGAAACAUCCUACUGAAGUGGUCGAGAAUGUUACCGGUCCGAAACCUAGAACUAAGUGGACAAAAGACGAAAACGAACUAUCUUCGUUCAAUGGGAAGGGUAUCAAUGCUUUGUUCAAUGCGUUGAAUCAAACUGAAUUUUCACGAGUAUCAGCAUGUGAAACCGCCAAAGAAAUUUGGGACACUUUACAAAUUACUCACGAGGGUACAAGCUUGGUAAAGGUUCAGAAAUUACAAAUGUUGACUAGUCGUUUUGAUGCUAUUCGUAUGGAAGAAAAUGAAACCUUUACCGAGUAUUACACUCGUCUUCAAGAUAUUGUCAAUACUUGUGCAAAUUUGGGUGAAAAAAUUUCUGAACCAAAAAUCGUUCGAAAAAUUUUGAGAACUCUUCCCGAACGUUUUCGUCCCAAGGUUGCGGCCAUUGAAACGGUAAAACAUCCGGAUGAACUCAAAGUAGAUGAACUAGUUGGUGCUCUUCAAACGUAUGAAAUGACUUUUCCUUCUAAUUCGUCUUCUUCCAAGUCUUUUUCUAAAGCCUCAGGCAUGGCUCUAAAAUCAACAAAAGGAGAUGUCUCGUCAACCUCAUCAGAUUCAGAGUCGGAGCAAAGCUUGGAGGACUUUGAGAAACAACUCGCACUUCUAACAAAGAAGUUCCGUCGGAACUUUAGAAAGAAGUUUCCUCCCAAGUCUAGUUCAUCAAAGACAAACAAAUCUAAAGGGGGUCCGUCUUCUUCUUCCUCGUCAAAAUACAGAAAAUCUGAUAACUCUCAAAAGGACUCCACAAAAGAGAGGAAAAGCGGUGAAGGUCAAAUCCAAUGCUACAAGUGUAGGGGCUUUGGCCAUAUAGCGUCUGACUGUCCUAAUAAAAAGACGUUGAAGAAGAAAGCUAUGCAAGCUAUGACUUGGGACGACUCCUCAUCUGACGAUUCUACUUCAAGCGAAGAGGAUGUAAAUGCCACGGCACUGUUUGCACAGGAUUCAACUUUCAUGUGUCUAGCAUCUACUGACUCGAUUUCUACGACAUCUAUACAAGAGAAGUCAUCUUCGGAGAACUCAUCGGAUGAAGAAUCGGACGAAGAUGACAUGGUCGCAGCAUAUCAACAAUUAGUUGUUGAAUCAAAGAAGAUGGCUAAACACAACAAGAGACUUCGGCGUAGUCUACAUGAGUUGGAACAAGAAAAUUCAAAGUUGGUCUCUCUAACAAAGGAUUUAGAACAAGAGAGAGAUGGGUUGACCAAGGCUUACAAUUCUUUGCUUGAGAAGUGUUCGUUACUUGAAAAUGAAAAGGAGACUCAGGCGGAGAACAUCAAGCAUCUUACCAAACAAAACUCAGAAGCUAGAGAAGCAAAUAUGGAAUUCACCAAGACGAUCAUUCAACUGAAGUCGGAUUUGAACCAAUUUUCAUCUGGCUCGAGCAAACUAGAUAAGAUGCUUGGACUUGGUCAGACAAAUAAACUUGGACUUGGUUAUGAACGAACAUAUAUUGAUCAAGUUACGAAGAACGAUGAUGGAAACUCGUCUACUGCUGUACCUAAACUUUAUGGUAAGUUUGUCCCUCCUAAAAAUAAUUUGGCUAACAAAACUUGUCAUAUUUGUGGUGUUUUAGGACAUAUAAAGAAAUUCUGCUUUCAAAAGGGAAAGAGCUCGAUAGCUCUCUUGAAGAGUGACCCUAGAAUGACAUUAAAGUCAAUUGUGACUCCAAAGAAGAUAGAACAAAAGAAGAGCCAAAUUCCGACACCAAAUACUCCGAAGCCAAAGGCAAAACCAGCAUGGAAACCAAAGAAGGAGGACAUGAAGGGGAAGUCAAUUCAAAUCGUCGACAAGCCACGAUCAACAAAAGCAAGCGAACGGACACAACCCAAAACACGUAAGGUUUGGGUGCGCAAAGGUGAACUCUUCCCAUGCCUAGUCAUUCACACUUCACUUCAUGCUUACGAUAACUCAUCUUGGUAUCUGGAUAGUGGCUGUUCCCGUCACAUGACCGGAGAUAAAAAUUGGUUUACUUCUUUGACCAAAAUCUCCGGAGGACUUGUUGUUUUUGGAGACGGUCGAUCGUCAAAAAUCGUUGGAAAAGGAACAGUGACUAUCUCAGACGGCCCUACGUUGAAUGAUGUUUUUUAUGUUGAAGGGCUUAAAUCUAAUCUCGUAAGCAUAAGUCAAUUGUGUGAUGAUGGGUAUUCGGUGAACUUUUCUGAUAAAGAAUGCCAUGUGACUCGUGAUGACAAUCUAUUCUUAAAGGGCAUUAGAUCUCAGAAUAAUUGUUAUGUAGUUCCUAGUUCGGCCACUGAACAUUGUAACCUAGCGUCAUUAGAAACUGAAACUUUAUGGCAUGAACGACUAGGUCACAUCAAUUUUAAGGAGCUAUCUAAGAUAACCAAGAAGGAGGUAGUUAGAGGUGUACCUAAGAUUGACUAUAAAGAGAACACUGUGUGUGGGGGUUGCCAAUUAGGGAAACAAACUAGAUCCACACAUAAGAACUUGAACCACUUAGGGACAACUAAACCUCUAGAGUUACUUCACAUGGACUUGAUGGGACCAUCUAGGAUUCAAAGUUUGGGUGGAAAACGUUAUAUUUUGCUUAUUGUUGAUGAUUUUACUCGCUAUGUAUGGAGUGCUUUCUUACGAGAAAAAGCUGAUACUUUUAAUUCUUUUUCUGAAAUCUGUCUCCGUCUUAUGACUGAACGAAAUGAUAAAAUUGUACGCAUUCGAAGCGAUCAAGGGGGAGAAUUCAUAAAUUCUAAAUUUGUUGAUUUCUGUGUUUCAAACGGUAUAAAACAUGAAUUCUCGGCCCCCUAUACACCCCAACAAAACGGAGUGGUUGAACGUAAGAAUCGGGUUGUACAGGAGAUGGCUCGUGUUAUGCUUCAUAGUAAGAAAAUUGCUUUACAUUUUUGGGCCGAAGCAGUUAACACAGCUGUCUAUGUUAUCAAUCGGAUUUAUGUACGUCCGGGCACUUUGAAUACGCCUUAUGAACUUUGGCUUGGUAGAAAACCUAACAUUAAAUACUUUCGUGUCUUCGGGAGUAAAUGUUUUAUCCUUCGGGAUCGUGAAAAUCUUGGAAAAUUUGACUCUCGCAGUGACGAAGGCAUAUUUCUUGGUUAUUCUACUACAAGUCGUGCCUAUCGUGCGUACAAUUUACGAACUAAGACGGUGAUAGAGUCUAUCAAUAUAAAAGUAGAUGAAGCUUCUUUUGUAAGUUCUUCUGUGAAUGGUUCUUCAAAUUCUUUGAUGAAUGACGAUGAUAAUGAUUCUCCGUUUGUAAUGCCUGUGAAUGAUGAUGUUUCUAUACCUGAUAAUUCCAUUGCAUCUUCUGAAAAUAUUGCAUCAAAUGAUUCAUCUGAGCCACAAAACAUCACGGCUGAAAUCCCGAGUACAGAGACUACCCCCCUGACAGAGUCAAGAGAUCAUCCUUUGUCAAAUGUGAUUGGGGAUCCUAAUGUUGGUGUGCGAACAAGAAGUCAGUUACAAUGUGAAUUUGCAUGUUAUGUUUCUUUGAUUGAGCCAAAGAAUGUUGACGAAGCUCUUGUUGAUGAAUAUUGGAUAAAUGCCAUGCAAGAAGAACUUGGUCAAUUUGUUCGCAAUGAUGUAUGGGAAUUGGUGCCUCGUCCUGAGCAACAACACAUUAUUGGUACCAAAUGGAUCUUUAAGAAUAAGAAAAAUGAGGAUGGUACUAUCGUGCGGAACAAAGCUAGACUUGUGGCUCAGGGGUACUCUCAAAUUGAGGGAAUAGACUUUGAAGAAACCUUUGCUCCGGUUGCCCGUCUUGAAUCUAUUCGUAUCUUGUUCGCGAUUGCUUGCCAUUUUAAAAUCACGCUCUUUCAAAUGGAUGUCAAAAGUGCGUUUCUAAAUGGAUUUUUAAAAGAGGAAGUUUAUGUUGAACAACCGAAAGGUUUUAUAGACUCAAAAUUUCCAAAUCACGUUUUUCGACUGAAAAAGGCACUUUAUGGACUAAAACAAGCUCCGCGAGCAUGGUACGAACGCUUAACAAAAUAUCUUUUGGAAAAGGGCUAUAACCGAGGGGGAGCAGAUAGAACUCUUUUUGUGAAGCAUCUGAAGAAUAAUUUCAUUGUAGCACAAAUAUAUGUGGAUGACAUAGUUUUUGGGGCUACUAAAGAUAAGGAUGCCGCUGAUUUUGCAAAGUUAAUGACCAGCGAGUUUGAGAUGUCGAUGAUGGGGGAGCUUAAUUAUUUCCUUGGACUUCAAGUUAAACAAUCAAAAGAUGGAAUUCAUUUGUCUCAGACCAAGUAUGCAAAGGAACUGGUUAAGAAAUUUGGAUUGGACAAUGCAAAGGAUUUUGACACUCCAAUGGGUACAAGCAACAAAGGACUUGGGUUGAGUUUGGAAGGACAGAGCGUGGAUGAGAAACAAUACAGAAGCAUGAUUGGGAGCCUAUUGUACUUGACUGCGAGCAGGCCAGAUAUUGCUUUUAGUGUUGGAAUGUGUGCUCGCUAUCAAGCUAAUCCUAAGGAAGUCCAUCUGAAAGCGGUUAAAAGGAUCAUUCGGUACGUUAAGAGUACAACCGCGUAUGGACUUUGGUAUCCUAUGGGAACAUCUCUUGAUCUAAUCGGCUACUCAGAUGCUGACUGGGCAGGAUCUGCAGAUGAUCGGAAAAGUACUAGUGGAGCUUGUUUUUACAUUGGACACUGUCUGGUUGCUUGGCACAGUAAGAAGCAAAACUGUAUUGCUCUUUCAACUGCAGAAGCUGAAUACAUUGCGGCCGGGAGUUGCUCUACACAAUUGAUCUGGAUGAAGAGUUUACUGAGCGACUAUCGAAUCCCUUCCACCACUCUUAGUAUUCUUUGUGACAACACAAGUGCAAUUAAUAUUUCUAAAAACCCUGUUUUACAUUCACGAACAAAACAUAUUGAAUUAAGAUAUCACUUUUUAAGAGAACUGGUUGAAUCAAACAUUCUACAACUUGAAUAUAUUUCAACUGAAAGUCAACUUGCAGAUAUUUUAACAAAACCUUUGGAUCAAAAACGUUUUCUGCAUUUAAGAAAAGCGAUUGGUAUGAAUCCUUCAAUCUAGAUAUAUUCUAUUGGGCCAUAGAUCAUGUGCAUGUUGCAUCUUAUUUUUGUGAAUGGUUUCUGGUAUUUCCUGAUUGUGCUUGAGAGAUGAUUGAAUUUCUUGAUUAAUGUUGCUACUUUUGGGAGAUGAAUCGGUUCGUAACUUUAAUUAUUUCAUAUUUAAUUUUUGAUUGAUCACUGUCAAGGUUGUUCUAUAUUGUCAUAAUUGUUGAACGAUCAAAUCAUUGAGAUUCUGUUUUGCAUACUGAAUCAAAUUCAACACCUCUUGCUUCGAACUUUGAAUGUUGCUAUUGUUUAUCUGAUUAUGAGUUUUGAGAUGAAUAACUCUUUCUCUGUUUUUGAAAUUGAAAUAAUAUUUUUGACUUGAGGGUUGCACUAAUUUAGGAAGAGUCUUUCCAAUUUUGGUUAUGAAAGUUUCUGAUAUUCAAGAUGUGGAAAGAGUUACAUCCCUGCUGGAAGUGUGAAAACUACCACCAUAUGGAGGAAAGAGCUACCACCCUGGUCGUCUGGUCAGUGUGUGCAGCUACCACAUGUUGAUUAAAGUAUCUCUAUGAAACAAAAAGAAAGUACCUUUCAGAGAUAAAAAGAAAAAUGCUCAAAGAGCUAUACAUCUCAUAGGUGAUAUAAGGUGGAAUGUUAAUUAAAAAAAAAAAGAUGCUCAAAGAGCCACUCCUGUCUCGAACAUUGUGCAUAACUUAAUUUGAACAUAUUAUUUUGAUUUCAUGAUUUGAGAAUUAUUUAUAUAUUUUCUUUAACAAAUAUGAUGAUAAAACAAUACAAUAAAUUCCUAAAUCUUGCAUGAUGUGUGGAAUUUUAUUUUAUAUGUAUCUAGAAUUGUCAUUGAUUUUCGGGUCAACAAUUUUGCCAAAUUGAGUAUCCUUGAAAUUGAUUUUUUUUUCAAAAUUUAUUUAUGAAUUUUUUCUUUGAAGUUAUUGGAAUGGAAAUAAGUUAUUUUUGUUGGUUUAUCAUUGUGGAAUUUCAUAUAUUUUUCCUGGAAUUUUUGAAGCUUAUUUUAAAUUUUUUAAAAAUUCUAGGCUCUGGGACCGGUCCCAGACAGAAGAGACCGGUCCCUCCGCCCGACCCAAUAAAGGGGUUUUUGCUCGUGUGUCUUGUACACAUUUCACAAAUUUCCCUGUUUGUUCCUCUUGCACUUUUCUUGCCUCCAGAGCAUUUUUCCUCACAUUCCUCGUGGUUUAGCACCGAUUUGAGGUAUGAUUUUCGGAUUUUGUUGCAUUUGUAUCAUAUACUCCGAAAAUGUGUUUCGUUUCCGAUUUUUUGAUGCUUGUUCUAGAGAUCUUGCUGAAAGAUGCAUAUUUAUGCUUCGAUCUUGUUAUUAGAACUGUUGUUUUCAUAUUUUCUAGUAUUUCUUUGUUUUUGGAACAAGUUUUGUAGGUUUUUCAUCAUCAAAACCUAGGUUUUCAAAGUUUUCCUGAAAAGAUUUGUUUUUGCUGAUUUAGUUGCAUGAUUAGUUCAUGUUUCUCAUGAUUAUGUGGCUCCUAGGAUUAUCUAGUAUUUAUAUAUCAAUUUGCUGAAAAUUUUUUUUGGAAUUAAAAAAAAAAUUAAGUGUUCUUAUGUUUCAUAUGUAAAUAUUUUUAUGUUUAACAGGGGAUUUCUUCAAAAUGUAUUCAUUGUUACUUGUGCUUGUGGUCCUGAUGGCCGGGGGUGGUCGUGGAAGCAAACGACAGCGCUCCAAAGCUAAACGGCCGAUUGAGUAUCAACCGGAAGAUGAAGAGAGCGAAUAUGCUCCUGGCGACGACUCUGAGGAGGAUGAACCGGAUUGGGAGGCUUUUGUUCCCGAGGUAUUAGCUAAGGAUAAGGAUACUGGGAAAGGCAAGGGAAAAGGAAAAGCCGUGGAUAAAGGCAAAGGAAAGGCGACUGAGCGUUCCGGUCGUCGUAAGUCCGGGGGUGUUGAGAUUCGAGAACCGGGCUCUGAACCACCACGUCGCAGUCUACAGGAUGUUCCAUCUAAUCGACGGUCAAUGUAUUCGUCGAAACACUGCAUUGGUGAGCGAGAUGUUGGGGUGGCCAGUAUUAUUAGUUGUGUGCCGGGUUUUCAGGAUUUGUUUGAACAGGGGAAUCUUCAUCAGAUUUGUGAUUUCCCGGAGCAAACCGGUUAUUGUUUGGAGUUGAUCAGAGAAUUUUACAUGAGAGCAGGUCACCUCAGUGACUCCGACGGCGGUCCGUACGUGUUUAAGACUUCCGUACGUGGUGUUGAGUUAUCCAUCACUCCUGAGACAAUAGCUUCGGUGCUAGAGAUGGAAGCUAAGACUGACGGAGUGGAGUAUCUGCAGGCCGGGUUCGACUCACUUCGCGAUUGGAACCGUGUCGUGAACACUAUUUGUAUGCCGGGUACUGAAUCAAACGGCAUUAUGGUUAUGUCAAAAGAUUUCAAAAUGGAGUACAGGUUUCUGAACUUUGUGGUUUGCUACAACAUCAUGCCUCUCGCGAACACGAAAAUCUUGAGAUGGGAUCGGAUUCUGUACAUGUAUCUCUUGGGUAGGCCAGAUAUUGUGAGUGCGAAAAACAUUAACAUGAAUAUUCCGUUUCUGAUCUGGCGGCGGAUGGCGAAAGACAUCAAAACCUCUGGGCAAAAUGAGAGGUUACCAUUUCCUUUGAUAAUUAUGCGGAUUUUGCGACUUCGUGAGGUGGAUGUUCGGUGUACAUCAUACGAGCACAGUUUGGGUCGGAUCAAUGAAAGGACGUUUGUAAAGUCCUCGGUGCAGCUUCGUACGCCGUCUCAACGUGCUUCUUCCCCUCCUGCAGCUCCACCUCCUGCUACUGCUACUUCUUCACGUCCUUCUAUGGACAUUUCUGAGGAAGAUAUUUCCGUUUCAUCGGUGUAUCGCGAGCAGCAACGUCUAUCUGAGGAGCUUCAGAAGUUGUCUGCAGAACAAGCUGCGAUUCGUAAGGAUGUGAGCAAGAUGAAGCGCUUGUUGAAUAUGAUUUUUGACAAAUUAGGAUGUUGUCGGGCAGAUUUACCUCCAGGAGAUGAUUCUGACUAGGAGUUACCGAGCUUCUCCUUUUGUCGUUUUGGCGCUUUCUGACAAAAAGGGGGAGAUGGAUGGGAUGGUCUUAAUGAUGAUGAUGAUGCAUUAUUCUUGAUGUUUAGUUAGUUAAGAUGUUUAAUUAUGAACUAUGAUGCUUUAGGUGUCUGACUUAGUGCUUUAGGUGUUUGUGACUAUGAACUAUGAAUUAUGAACUAUGACUUGAUAGUUUGUUUGAUCUUGAUACUUGAAUCUUGAUUAUGUUUUGAGAAUGUUUUUGCAGGAAUAAUUCAAGACUUCAAGACUCCAUGUCUAAGUCAUAGAGUUUGUAUUAAGGUUGUAAAAGUGUAAAUUUUGUUUAUUGGAUUGAUCAUGCAGGAGAUUAUCGUUUGGUGAUUGCGAUGAUCUUCUUUUUAUGAUUUAUUAGUUGUAUACGAACUUUGUAGUAUAUUUUGUCACGAAAUCGCCAAAGGGGGAGAUUGUUAAGGAUUUUAUAGGUUGGCGAAUUUCGUAAAGUUGUUUGGAGUCUUGAAGAGUUGAUCGCAGAAGUUUUUGAGAAGAGAUUCAAAUUGGAGGACGAAGACUCAUUCGGAAAGCUCGACACCUAAGGUAUGAAGAAAAGAUCAUUUGUGGUGAAGAUAUAUAAUUAGAAUAAGUUCAGAAGGCUUAGAUUGCUUUAAAAUAAUUUUUCUGAACUUUCAUGUGUUCUGGGACCGGUCUCUGAGAUUGAGAGACCGGUUCCCCUAAGGUCCUCACUGCGUAAACUGUGAUGCAACCGGUCCCCUGUGAUGAGAGACCGGUUCCCGAACCAUGGUGCUUCUGUCGCGCAGCGAGGGACCGGUCUCAAGUUUGAGAGACCGGUUCCCGAACGUUGGGUUUUUGGUCACGCAGAGAGGGACCGGUUCCUCACUUGAGAGACCGGUCUCUCACAGACCGGUCUCCUCGAGAGGACCGGUCUCUGAGGACGACACAGGUUUUUAAAAACGACUUUUUGCAAUCCUAGUCUACUUCUAAGUCUUCUAAACAUAUAAAUAAGCUAUGUGGGUCAUCUAAAAUUAAGGCUUUGAAUAUUUUACCAAUUCUAAACCCUAGAAACUUAAUUCUCUCCGUUUCGAUGCUUAGAUGAGUUUCUAGCAAUCGACAUCGGCUUGAUUCUUCGUUGUUACUCAAUAAUUCUUACGAGAAUCAAGUAGAUGUUUGAUAAAAGGUGAACUCCCAUAGCUUAUGGUUUUCAAAAGUUAAAUCACCACAAAUCUUCGAUUCUACAAGCUCCGGAAGGAGGUUCGGCACGUGGAUCUCGUGUGAAGCCGAGGAUUCGGUGGACGUUUCGAGGAGUUGAGGCGUUAACGCUGCGAGGAGUUGCAGCAAGGUCGAUUGGUGGAUUCCUAUCGAUCGAGGACCGGCAAAGAUCACCAUCAACGAGAAAUCGGUAAAUUGAGUCGUGUGUUUUUGUCGAAAUCACUUGUACUCAAGUUUUCUUAGUGGAUUUUCUUUACGUGAUCGGUCCCGUGAGUUUUUCACUCCGAAUUGGAGUUUUCCCACGUUAAAUUCUCGGUGUGCUGUUUUAAUUUCCGCUAUUUUGUUUUGUUUGCAUCGAGAUUUUUCGAGUUUGCCGGAUUUACACCUAUUCACCCCCCUCUAGGUGUUACUUACCUUUUAGAUCCUCGGGAUCCAUAUCUAACAUUCCUCAUAUUUCUCAUCACAUCGGGAAACACACUCCGAUCCGAUCACCGGCAUUGCCUAGAAGCAAUAUUGUCGGUGCAUCGACCAAUCGCACGCGCUCCGAUCUCAAUCGAAUCUCUGGUCUAUCACGAGAUGGCACACCCCUGCACAUCUCCAACCUCAAUCCCUUUGAGAGCUCCAAUCCUCACGUGGCUAUCCAUUAUGCUAGUGUCUCCUAGAGACCACUUUACUUUCUCUUUAUCCUUUGACACUAUAAGCCACGUUCAACACCACACGAACCCUCCGUUCGUGAAUCCAAGCCCAACUCACUAACAGAGUUGCUCGCCGCACCGAUCAUCGGUUUUCACAAGUGGACCAAGGGCCACCAAUCCUACGUAGGCCAGCCGCCUAACUCGUCUCAACGACGCCUAGCGUCUCUCGCUCGCAAGCGUAGACCCAAUCAUCAUUUUCGGACGAAAUUCUCACUUGAAAAUUCGCACACACUCCAACCAGGAGCAACCACGACCCUGAACCACAUCGAGUCCUCGGGUUGGGUCGCUACACCCUCGGUGUACUAUCAAUCUCAUGAUCCAACACAUGGCCUUCCACGUACCUGGGUCUAAGCUUGGACUACCGUCCUGACCAACACUCUGCCCUACCUAUAGGUAUCGGGAAUUUCGCGAUUUCGCGAUUUCGCACUUCUCGAGCAAUAAUCAACGCCGGAAACUCCUCGUAACUCAUAUUCUCGUGCAAUCCCGGCGGUGUAUAUGACAAUAUAUGCUCGGGAUUGUGGAUAUAUUUGCGGAGGUUGGAGACAUGGAAGACAUUGUGAACAUUGGCGAGCUUCGGCGGCAACGCGAGCCGAUAAGCCACCGCACCAAUCCGCUCCAACACCUCGUACGGCCCAACAUAUCGGGGACUCAACUUUUCCCGCACUCCGAACCGCUUCACGCCUCUCAUGGGCGACACCUUGACGUAGACGCGGUCGCCUACCACGAAUUCAUAAUCUCUACGGCGCUUAUUGGCGUAACUCCUUUGUCUAGAUUGCGCCGUGAGCAAUCUUUGGCGAGUAAGGCGGACUUUCUCCUCCGCCUCUCGCAAGACAUCGGGGCCAAGAACCGCACGUUCGCCUACCUCACUCCAAUGGAUAGGAGAUCGGCACUUCCGCCCGUAAAGAGCUUCGAACGGUGCCAUCCCUACACUAGCCUGAUAACUGUUGUUGUAGGCGAACUCGGCCAUCGGUAAGUGAUUACUCCAACUGCCCCUAUAGUCAAUGACACACGCUCGCAACAUAUUCUCCAGAAUUUGUAUAGUCCUAUCUGACUGUCCAUCUGUCUGAGGAUGAAAAGCGGUACUGAAAUUGAACUGUGUGCCCAACUUUCCUUGCAGGCUCUUCCAGAAAUUCGAAGUGAACCGCGGGUCUCGAUCCGAUACAAUUGACUUCGGCACCCCGUGCAACCUCACAAUAUCAUCAAGGUAUACCUGCACUAGCCUAUCACCUGCCCAAGUCGUGUGGAUCGGCAAGAAGUGUGCCGACUUUGUCAAACGAUCCACAAUCACCCAGAUUACAUCGUGGCCAUUCAACGAAUGAGGUAGGCCGACCACGAAGUCCAUGGUCACAUCCUCCCAUUUCCAAGCGGGGAUAGGUAAGCUCUGAAGCUUUCCCGCUGGAAAUCGGUGCUGCUUUGACUUGCUGGCAUGCCAGACACUGCACCACAUAGCGUCCAAUAUCGACUUUCAUUCCCGGCCACCAAUAAUGCUGUUUUAGAUCUUGAUACAUCUUGGUGCCGCUCGAGUGGAUGCUAUAAGGCGACCAAUGCGCUUCUUUCAAAAUCAGCUUCCGAAUCUCUUCAUUGUCCAGUACACACCACCGGUUUCGAAAUCGAAUCACACCCUCGGCGUCUACAUUGAAAUCGCCACUGUGUCCGCUCUUGAUGUCGCGCCGCACCUUCUGGAGAGUUGGAUUUGCAGAUUGUAACCCUUUAAUCCUCUCCAACAGGGUUGGUUGGACAACGAGAGUUGACAACAUAGCCGGAACCUUUGGAGCUACAACUCGAGAUCAAUCUGUCCCAUCUCCUUCCAUAGGGGCUCCUGAUUCGUGACUCACAUCGCGAGGUUCUCCGCCGACUUUCUACUGAGUGCAUCAGCGACUACAUUUGCUUUCCCGGGGUGGUAGAGAAUAUCGAGAUCAUAAUCCUUUAACAGCUCUAACCACCGCCGUUGUCGCAUGUUAAGCUCUUUCUGUGUGAACAAAUACUUCAGACUCUUGUGGUCAGUAUACACUUCACAACGCGCGCCGUACAAGUAAUGCCUCCACAACUUGAGAGCAAAUACCACUGCGGCUAACUCCAAGUCGUGGACAGGGUAGUUCUUCUCGUAGCUUUUCAACUAAUGGGACGCAUAUGCGAUCACCUUCCCUUCCUGCAUCAGAACACACCCCAAUCCUGAAGAAGAGGCGUCACUAUAAACCACAAAGUCCUCAUCUGGCACCGAUAAAGCAAGCACCGGAGUCGAAGUCAGUUUCUCCUUCAACUCGUUGAAACUCUGGUCACAUUCACUGCUCCAAAUAAACUUGGUGCCCUUUUGAGUCAGACGGGUAAGUGGAAUAACUAUCUUCAAGAAACUAUCUAUAGUAGCCUGCCAAGCCCACGAAGCUUUGAACCUCUGUGACAUUAGUCGGGCGCGGCCAAUCUCUGAUCGCCUCCACUUUCCUCGGGUCAACAGAAACACCACCCUCGGAAAUAACAUGCCCCAGAAAUGCGACCUCUCGGAGCCAAAAGUCGUACUUCUUUAGCUUCGCAUACAACUUCUCCUCCCGAAGGAUUUGAAGCACUAGCCUUAAAUGCUCGGCAUGCUCCUCGUCGUUGCGAGAAUAGACCAGAAUGUUGUCUAUAAAAACCACGACAAACCGGUCCAAGUACUCCUUGAAGACACGGUUCAUUAAGUCCAUGAAUGCUGCCGGGGCGUUCGUGAGCCCAAACGGCAUGACCAUGAAUUCAUAGUGCUCAUACCGCGUGCGGAACGCGGCCUUCUGUACAUCUUCCGGCUUUAUCCUUAGCUGAUGAUAACCGAACUGUAGGUCUAUCUUUGAGUACACACACGACCCCUGCAGUUGAUCAAAUAAAUCGUCGAUUCGGGGCAAUGGGUACUUAUUCUUGAUCGUGACUUUGUUCAACUCGCGAUAGUCCACGCAGAGUCGAAACGAUCCGUCCUUUUUCCGCACAAAUAAUACUGAGGCUCCCCACGGUGAUACACUCGGCCUGAUGAACCCUUAGUCGAGGAGAUCUUGCAACUGAGCCCUUAACUCCUUUAGUACAGCCGGCGCUAUACGAUACGGGGCCUUUGAGAUCGGCGCCGUUCCGGGGAUCAAGUCUAUCACAAACUCGAUCUUUCGAUUGGGCGGCAUCCCCGGUAACUCCGUAGGAAACACGUCCGGAAACUCCCGAACUAUCGACAACUCCUCGAGUGCCGGAACUACUCGGUCCAUUUCCACAAUGGUCGCUAAGUAAGCCACGCAUCCGCUGUUAACCAAUUUUCUUGCUCUCGUCGUAGAUACCGUCGCUGCGAAGCAUGAGCUAUUGCACGCUCGAUACGCGAACUCCUCCUGUCCUAGCUCCCGAAACGUUAUCACCUUAUUCCUGCAGUCGAUAGACGCGUAGUAUUUCGAAAGCCAGUCCAUGCCCAAUAUAACGUCGAAAUCUUUCAACCUCUUGAGCAUCAACAUACGAAUUGGCAUUAUCCAGUUGCCCACUUGAACUGGACACGCCAGACAUUCCUUGCGAAUAACGAACGCACGCCCGGCGCCCUCUACUCGCCAGGUGCUCUGACUUGACUGAAUGCCAAUGUCAUGCAUUUGUGCAAAUGAUCUACUGAUGAAUGAAUGCGUAGCACCUGUAUCAAACAUAGCCCUGGAGCGAACUCCGUCAAUUAAAACCAUACCUGCCACGACGUGGCACUCCUCGACUUCGACAGGCUCCUCGGCUUGAGUGCGAAUACCCGGCCGCUCGGAGCCGAUCGCGUCAUCUCAGGUUGACGCGGCGCCAUCGGGCGUCCAACCGAUGCUGCUGCCGGUGGGGCUCCUCCAUAGUGCGCCGGAGUCGCUGGAGCCGAUGUGACAGACGGAGUAGGCAAGGCUUCUCCAGGACAGUCGUGGAUAAAGUGUCCCGCUUGCCCACACUUGAAGCAUUUCCCUUGCCGCUGACUGCAACGCGAUGCGGGGUGGUCUGCACCACAGAUAACACAUCGCGGCGCUCCACGGCCUCUGGACUGCGAUUGCGGAUACUUCGGGGGCUUCUUGGAAUUAGAUUGUCCCCCCGAACCACCGCCCUGACGCUUCUUUCCAUUGUCCUUGGACUCGGCCAUCAGCUUGCGCUCUUCUCGCACGUGGGCAUAACCGUGCUCAGCCCACAAUGCUCGGUCAAAAAUCUCGGCAAAGGUCGUAAGCUUGAACAACUGAACGGCCCUAUAUAUCCUCGGCUGAAACCCUCGCAAGAACCAAUCGGCCCGGUCCCGGUCAUCUCGAACAACAUCCGGGACACAAUCUAUGAUAUGGGAGAAUUCCUGUUCGUAGUCCGCUACUGAACGAUCCCCCUGCCUCAAUUUACGAAACUUCUCCUGCAACUUUCUUUUCAGUGUCGGGGAAGUAGCUUGCGAACAUUGCCUUUUUAAACUCCUCCCAUAGCAUUGGCAGAAGGUCGGAAGACCGAUCUCGCUUCACCCGCUUCCACCACACCUUCGCCGCCUUCUCGAGACAGUGAGUGGCGAGGUACACUUUAUCCUUCUCCAAAGUGUACAGGUCAUCGAAGAGUGUCUCCAUCGAGUCAAUCCACGACUCCACCAUCAACGGCUCCACCUUUUCCCCCUCGAAGAUAGGUGGGUUGAACUUAUUAAAUUUGACGAGAGCCGCCAACGCACGCUCCCGCUCCACCUUCUCGGCCGCAGCAUCGGGUGUCGCCGAACCCGAGGCCGCCAAAGAAACACUCGCCGGUGGGGGAUGUGCCACCACCGGAACUACCGCUAUGCCCUCACCCUCAGCUGCUUCAGGCACGCGCGCCGAGGGGGCGGGCGGAUCACGGUCUUCAGUCGCUGUUGCGGUCGCCGCCGCCACCUGCCGCUCCAUAAGCUCUUAGAGCCGCUCGAACCGACUCUCUUGGUGCUGCACCACGCCGGCUAGCGCAGUCAUCUGCGCCCGCAACUCUUGCACUUCGCUAGAUCCGGCUUGCUCGGGCACCUCAGGAGGCGGUGCCGGAACUGAUCUACGGGUGUAGCGCCUUGGGGACAUCAGCUCCUAAAACAUAACCAACUUGGUUAAUCACCUUAACCCACUAAACCUUAUCGCAUUUACGAAACAACGCGACUCGGCAUCGCAAUUGGGCGGAAGCACACAAGUGUACUCAUUCCCAACUCUUAGUGUCAUGUUGUCGGCCGCCAACACAACCACUACGAGUCGAGAACUCAUACCCCUUGAAUCCGUUUCCAGUCACUACUAGAAACAUACUUCAAUCCUGACCCAAUCGAUCAACUUCCGCCAUUGUCACAGGUUCACGUCUCACUCACGCACCUAUAACCUUAAGGUUUCCAUCCUAGGGUCUCCUAGGUCAAUCCUAUACUUCUCUCUUUACUUGCUCUUACUUGCUCUAAUACCAUCUCUAUCUGUCAUGCCUCGAGACCGCUACCAAUUUGGUCCGGUUCGGGCGCGUCGAACAGACGCCGAACGGACAGCACCUCCCCUGUCCGCCCAAGGCUCAAGCACGGGAUCAUGUACAAGAAUUCGCCUAGGAACAAUUCAAUACAUACGUGAUCCAUACAACGACAAUAGAAGCACCACAAGUGCUUAACAACAAGAGCAAGUAACACAAGUAUACAUACAAGUGCAAAAAAAGAUAAUUCUAUCUAUUACAUCACAUUCAUUCACAAUUUACACUUUGUUUCAUCCAAAAUAUAGGUACAAAUUCAUUCACAUCUCUCCAAAAGGCAUCUCACAACCUAUACAUCAUCUAUUCUCAUACAUGUAGGUAUCUCUAAUGCAGUAGGAGAGCUACUAAUGCUAGGGCGCUAAGCCGUUACUGCGAUCCUCGCCCGGAGCGCUCGUACUCGGCCCUGCAACAAAGUGGGGUGAGAACUAUUGUCCAUAGUUCCCAGUGGGUUCGGCCGCGGACUCAGCCGAUCUCCCGACUAGGUCCAAGUGGGCACAAGCAGAUAGAUAGAUAGAUAUGUGAAAACAAUAACGACAUAGUAAGAAAGAUAUGCUACUAUGUCCAAAUCAUAUACAAUGUAUGCAUGCACAACGUGAUAGAUAAUCAACUAACAUGCCACUAUGUCCAAGAAGUAAUGCUAUUUACUUGUUCAUCAAUUCUCUUGACUUAUCCAAUCCUUGGCCAACCCUGAGGUUCGCCCACGACUCACAUGUAUCUCGUGGGUAAGGAGACUCAACUCGCUCAGCAAACCCGAGACCGUCUGCGGGACCCCAAAAAGCUAUCCCUCAUGUGACAAACUCCGGAGCGCACGAUUGUGUGGAGUGACCACCACAAGCUCUGAACAGAUAGUGAGUAUGAUCUAAUCCUCUCAACUCGAGGUACCCUAUCCACUAGGGCUAACAGUCACUUGAGAAUCCACCUAUCCCAAUGUCCAUAUGCAAGUGUUUAACUACACUAAGUUCUUAUUCAAUGACUCAUCUCUAGGGAAUCCGCCUAUCCCUAAGUUCACAUGUCAAGUGUCACCUUGCACUAAGUUAUAUGCCACUCGUUCUGUUGUCAUUGUUAUUUAUAUGCCACUCGUUAUGUCUUUAUCAAUCAUCGAGUCCAUCUCUUAUCUUGGCGCUAUAGGAUUCAAUGUCUCGACCCAAUCCUUAUCUAUCCACUAUAUCAAGCAUUCAACUCACACUAUGAUAUCAUUUAUGAAAGCAUAAGGAAAUGAAAAUGCACAUUUAUCCUACAAUGCAUAUAUGUAAGAGAUGCAAGAUUACAAUGCACUAAGACAUAAAGAGGAGCCCAGUUGCUUCGAGAUGACACCACCCACCUUCUGGGGUUGUCAUGACUCUAGGAAUGCGAUUCGGCGACUUUACGAUGUCGUCUCGGCCUCCCAGGCGGAAAUGAAGCUCGGAAGGUCCUUAUUGCUAAUAACUUUGCACCCGCUCGACGAAUCGUCGAACCGUCUUCGCUAACGCGUUUAAACACUUAGCAAUUAGGUUUACACUUGAUCAAUUUAGAUCAAUACCCAACAAAUCACAAAACCCCAUUUUGGAGCCCUAACUUGCAAUCAUGCAAGAUUCCAUCUCUAAAUCUCCAAACUCUUGCAUUAAAUACUUAUUAAGCAUGCUAGAGUUCCAACUAAUUUAAUUCCAGAGUAUAAAAUCCAAACCCUAGAAAUCUACCAUGGUUGAGCUUCAAACUUACCUCCAAAAGCUAGCUCCAAUGGUGAAAAGGAGGAAGAAGAUGAUGAAAACCCUUCUCCUUGCUUGCUUCUCCACCAAAACCCUUCUCUUCUUCACCUUCUAGAGAGAAAGAAAGAGAUCUUAGAGAAAGAGAGGCUUUUAGGUUUAUCUUUUGGGAAGAAAAUGAGAAGAGAGAGAGAGAGCACACUCUCAUAUAGCCUCCUCUUAUGCCACAAAUGCAUAAAAGCCCCUUAACUUGUCCACUACGACUCAGCCCAUCUAGGGCAAUUUCGGGCUACGGGGACCGAUCUCUCUAAGAGGGACCGGUCCCCGAGAGUGGCUUAUUUACAGAAAAGGGCCCUUGUCCCGUUUUUCACGCUUACGAGGACCGGUCUCUCCCGCCAGGGACCGGUCUCCGAGAGCAAUUUUGUGUGCAGAGCCUUCUGCCACAUUUUCCAAGCUACGGGGACCGGUUGCUCCCACCAGGGACUGGUCCUCGAGAGCAAAAAUUCUACACUUCGCAGAAUCUUCACAACUCGCUCUCGGAGGCCUUCUCCAAUGCACUUUUGGCCUUCUUGAUGCCUUCGGACUUUUCGAAGCACACCAAGUCGACAAUCAGUCGAUUCUAAUCGAAGUUCAACUCUCGUAUUUCGAGAAUUCACUUCCUUACACUAUAGGUAGAGCCGCUUUGAUAUUUGGCAUCCACUCCUCCAGCGACUUGUGGCGGAGAGAUACGUGGCGAUCGUACCCCUCUACGGUCCCUGCGUGAUCCUCGCUACUGAAUUUCAGCUACCGGAACCCUACCUCGUCGGUUGCGUCGGUGGAGGAGGAAAAGGGGAGAUGAUCAAUUUUUAUUAUUUUUUUCUUUUUUAUUUAUAAUCGGGCCGAGUGGGCUAGGUGUGGUUGGUUGAGUAGAGGAACUUUUUAUUUUCUAUUGGAUUGUGCUUUAUUUUUAGGUCUUAGUAGAUUUUUUAAAAAAAAUUUGGCAAAAAUGUGUCCCUAUAACCUAAUUCUGUUAUAUUGGUUGAUCGCCCCUAGCCACAUUGUCGUCGAUUAAUCAAAAACGAUAGCUGCACAGUGCAUUAUUAUCAAUACGUUAAAGCUGCUAAAAAAACAAAAAAAGCAAACAUAUUUUUAAGAAUAAUGCUAGUCCUACCGUUGUUUUUUUUUAUUGUAAUUCUACAACUCUAUUAUCUAAGAAUUUAUAUUUCUUUUAAUUACUGCAACCCAAAAAGAAUAUUUUAAAAAGUUGAUUAUGAUUGCGACCCUUGGAUUAAGAGCUGUAAUCUUACAAUCAUUUUUAUGUUGAGACUCAAUAUUUCUCUAUUUUAAAAAUGGUCAAGAAAAAAUUUCUCUUCCUUGAUUGUUCUAUAUAAUUGGGAGGCAGAAGGGGUUGAUCGAUGCUAAUCAUUGCUCUUUUCCACUAAUCUUUUCAUUGAAAGAAAAAAAGAGGAUGUUAGAAAAUAAUGGACCUCCUUAUUUCUGUCCAAAGAUCGUGAAGGUGAAUUCGAUCUGCUAACUUUGAGACAAACCUUAUUUUUUUGAGAAAAAGAUAGUAUAGUACCCACUUUAUUCAUUAGGCAAAAUGAACUUGGCUACAAAUGUGAUGCAUAUGGGCCUCAAUCAAAAAAUGUAUGUAGAAAGAAAAAAGAAAAGAGAGAAGAAUGAUAAAGAAAAAGAACAGCCAAAAGAGCUACAAAAUAUAAUCACUUCUUGUCGUAGAACUCUUCCCAUUGGUUCACCAAGCACUUGAUUUUCUAGCUGCAGUCAGUGAAUUUGAGUUACGAUUUCUAAAGAUCAUGCUGUUUCUUUCUAACCAGGUCGUUGACCAGCAUGCUGUGAGGAAUGUUAGUCCUUUCUCCAAAUCUAUAGCAUUUCGUAGGUUCAUCAGACUUCACUAGAGACUCCUAACCUCGUCAAAAUACUCCAACUCAAAAGCCCCUUCGAGGGACGCCUACUAGUAGAAACCUACCAAAAACACAACUCGAGAAAAGACGAUUAGUUGGUUCUAGUUCAUGUGCACAAAGCAUGCAUGACUGAUCCCCAAUCUAGCCCGUUUUAAGUAGGUUGUCCACAAUAGUUUUUUUUUUUUUUUUUUUUGAGCUAUCCAAGUGAAAAUCUUAACUUUAACCGAAAUUCUCAAUUUUGAGAUCCUUAAGGAUAAAUUAUCCCAUAUACCUCGUCAAUCAGCACUAAGUAUACUUAACUGUAAACCCAAACCCAGGGUUCUAGCGCCAACAAAUUUUAUCAAGUCUAUUCUCAAUGGGGAAGUUGGAGAGUCUAUUCUUAAGCUCUUGCAUGCGUAUUUCAUAGCCCCGAGUCGCAAAUCUAUUCAUGCUCAAAAUCUUUCAAUAGCUCUAGUCUUGGUUGGAGCAACACUCUUCAAUUGUCAUUUCCUUUGUCAUGACCUUGUCAAAUAUAUCUGGAAAGUAGGUUCUUAGUGAAGCAUCUCUACACCAUUGGUCUGACCAAAAGUCAAUUAUGUGUCCAUCCGCCACUGAAUAGCUGACAUCACACUUAAACUCCUUAAGUUUUAGCACAUCUCUCCACCAUUGUGAGGCAGGUCUGAAGGACCUCCCUUCUUUUCAAGGUCUCCUUCUAUUAUAAUAGAUCACUUUGAUAAGUUUAUUCCAUUGUAAUUCGGUUUCGUAAAUAGUCUCCACAAUUUGGUCAGUAGAGUAUCAUUUAUUGUAGCCAUAUCCUUGACCCCUUGUAAGGAAUUGAAUUCUCGAAAUUCGAGAGUUGGACUUCAUCUAGGAUCGACUAAUUGUCGAGUGGGUAGGCUUCUGAGGAGCUAAAGAUGUCUAAAAUACAAAAAGUGCUUUGAAAAUCGAGUCCAUGAGAGCGAAUAGUGCAAGAUCUGCACUUGGCAGAUUCUGCUCUCGGGGACCGGUCCCUGGCGGGAGGGACCGGUUCCCGUAAGCAGGAGGUCUGGCAGAGAAGGGGUCUGCGCAGAGUUGCUUUCGGGGACCGGUCCCUAGCAGGGAAGGAUCGGUCCCCGUAGCUAGUGGUUGCGGUGGAUGCUUGAUACAACCGGUCCCAAGCCUGAGGGACCGGUCUCCUAAGCGAAACCAGCGAGACAGCAAAUAUUUGACUAAGUCCUGAGAAUUCCACUCUCGGGAACCGGUCUCUCAGGCAAGGACCGAUUUCCCAGGGACCGGUUCCCGUACGCUGGAAGGCUGGCAGAGAGCCUUCCUCCCGCAUGGAUUGCUCUCGGGGACCGGUCUUCCCGACGAGGGACCGGUCCCUCCGCGCGAAAACUGCCCAGGCAGAGCAGUUUGAGAAAUAAAAAGUAGAGGGGCAUAAGUGGAUAUUAUUACAAUAGAGGGUAUAGGGGACCAUUCCUCUCUCCCUCUCCCUCAUUUCCCUCCCACUUACACACUCUCUCUCCCUCUCUCUCUCUAGAACGAAAAGAAGAAGGAGAAGGAAGGAGAAGAAGGAGAGGAAGAAGAAGAAGGAAAGAAAGGUGAAGAAGAAGAAGGAAAUAAAGGUGGAAAAGAAAAAGGAGAUCAAGGAGAAGGCCUUGGACACCUUCACCUGCCUCUCCUCUCCUCUUUGGUGUAGCUCAAGAGGUAAGCUACUAAACCCUAGCAUGUAGAACUAAGGGUUUUAGGUUUUUGGCUUUGGAAAUGGGUCAAAUGGACCUCUAGCAUGCUUCUAAAUAGAUCAAUGCUAGAAUCUAGGGUUGGAUGGAGUGGUUUGCUAUAGGUGCAAACCUAGGGCUCCAAAUUGGGGUCUUUGAUAAUGAGAUUGAUCUCAUUUGGUGGCUUGUAAACCUAAUUGAUAAGUGUCUAAACGCGGGGGCGAAGUCGGAUUUUCGAUUCGUCGAGCGGAUGAAAAGCUAUCAGCGAAAUAUAGCCGAUUGAGCACCGUUUUGGACCAAGGAGGCCGAGACCUCGUCGUAACGUUCAUUGGGAAGCGUUUCUAGAACCUUCAUACCCUCAAAAGGUGGGGGGUGUCAUCCCGAAGCAACCGAGCUCUUUUCUAUGUCCUAGAAAUACAUAAUUUUCAUCUCUUGCAUGUUGCAUUGUAGGAUUGCAUUGUAGGACCUUUUUCUUAUGCUUCUAAAUGUUAACCUAGUGUACAUGGAAUACUAGGUGAAAUGGAUAGGUAAGGAUUGAGUUGGAACAUGGAUCCUAUAGUACUAAAGGAAAGAGAUGAACUCGAUGAUUAUUUAGUAACAAAGAGAGUGGCAUCUAAAUGUUUAAAGAACAGAACGAGUGGCAUUAUGUAGUGUAUUUGACACUAGAGGUUCAUAAACUUAGGAAUAGGUGGAUUUCCUAGAAAAUGACUCGUGAACAAUGAACUUAGUAGAACUAAGUAACUAUGCAUGAAUGUCGAAAUAGGUGAGUUCCGAGAAAAAUGUUGGCCCUAGUUCGUAGGGUAUCCUCACGUGGAGAGGAUAGAUCAAGCUCACGGUUUGUUAUUCGGGGUGGUAAAGCCAUCCAGAUCCUCACAUGGAGAGGAUUGUCAUCGAGUACUCCGGAGUGUCGGGCAAUUAGGACAGAGUUGAUGUCCGCAGACAGUUUCGGGUUCGGGGGCACGUGGAGCCUCCUUACCCAAUGGGAUGGAUAUGUGAGGCAUAGGCAAACCCAAGGGUUUCGCCACAGAUUGGGUAAAUGAAAAAUUAAUAUUAUCAUCGAACAUUGCUUAUCGAACGUGGAUCGAACUUGUUAGCAUGAUAGUAAACUUUUACUAAUUGAUGCAUGCAUUCAUUUCACAUGAUUAUGAGCAUAGUAGCAUAGUUUUUCUAUUAUGUCUUUACAGUUUUGAUAUAUAUAUCUAUCUGUUUUGUUGUUACUUUUACCCACUUGGACCUAGUGGGGAGAUUGGCGGAGUCGGCAGCCGAGCCCACUGGGAACUAUGGAAGAUAGUUCUCACCCCACUUUAUUUCCAGGGCUAAGUACAGGUUUGCUGGCCGAGGACCGCGGCAAGGGCAUCGCGCCCGACCAAUGAGGAUUAUUGGUAGAGUAGUAGCUUUCCUUUUGUAUUAGCACACCUAUGUAUUGAGAGAGAUUCAUGUAGGUGAGGACUUUUGAGAGCUAUGUACUUGAGAGUAUGUAUUCAUUUUGAGGAAAAGAAUGUAAUUGUAUACAAAAUGCAAAUGUGAUGUAAUAGUUAGUAAGUUCUCUCUUUAUUUCACUUGUGUUUCUUGUGGAUUACUUGCUCUUUGUUGUUGGCACUGUUUGUGCCCCGUUGAUUGUGUACUUAUAGAAUUUAAAAUCCUGGGUAAAUUAUUGUACUCGAUUUGUUGUUGAGCCUUAGGCAGACAGGGGAGGUGCUGUCCGUUCGGCGUUUGUUUGCCGCGCUCGAACCGUGCCAAAUUGGUAAGGGUUUCGGGGCGGGGGCGUGACACCCCUAACCCUCAUUCUUUCCUACUCCUGCACAGUCUUUUUUAUGCUACCAUACAGGCUCCCCCUAUUGUGUCCGCCUGACCUUGGUGCCUUGAAGAUAGAUGCGAUGCCCUAACUUUCCAGGGGUCACCCAUCCUAGGACUACUCCCGUCCUAACACACUUAACUCUUUUAACCUUUUGGACCUAGCCACUAGAUAAAAUGCUUAAGUCGGGUUAAAAGUUUUAGUCCUAUUAUAUCUUAUUUAUAGGACUAUCUAGGAUCUCACAUUCUCCCCUCCCCUUUUAAGCCUACAUUCUCCCUCCCUUCCCCUUUAAGCCCUGAUGUCCUUGUCAGGCUCAGACUCACAAGUACGAAGUGAUGUGAGAGUCGUCUUGCUAGACUAAACCGAUCCUGUAGGGGAGCCGCACUCUACCCACAACAGUUAAUAGCAUGAGAGCCUCUGUAACAUACCGAACUUCUAAAGUCAUGAAGUUACGGUGUAUGUUAGCUUGGAAGAGUUGAAAAUGAGUUCUGAAGGUGUUAGAAGGGUUUUGGUAUCGACCGGCGCGAAGUAGAGUCGAGUCGGAGCCAAAACAGCACUCUGGGCAAUGUGUACCGGUACAGCAUUUAGAGUGUACCGGUACAGCAAUAUGUACCGGUACAGCAUUGAAAGUGUACCGGUACAAAUGCUACGAAACCGAGAGAGCUGCUCUCGGGUUUGGCCUCUGUGCAGAUGUGUACCGGUACAAAAACCCGUGUACCGGUACACUUUGGCUCUGGCAGCAAAUUUUGACCUAUUGCAAAAUAGAAGUUUUGGGGGGCCUAGUUGCAAUUGUAGCACACUAUAUAUAACCCCAAUCUCCUCUCCCCUUCACAGCAGCCCUCCUUCCUCAUUUCUUCUCCCUCUCUCUCUCUAGAAACACUACAACAAGGUGGAUUUGGAGGGGAUUGAAGAAGGGUUUGGAGAUUUUUGGAGCUUUUGAAGGGUUUGGAGCUCUCCUACAAGGUGUAGCUUGGGAUUGCUCUCGGGCUAAGGUGAGUUUGUGCAAGAACACUUCUAGAGUUUGGUUUUCCACCCUAAGACUUAGAGUGUUGGAGCUUCUUACAUGUUUAGAAGCCUCUUGAGACCUUGAAUCCAUGAAAUCCAUGAUUUUCCUCAAGGUGCUCUAAUGGUGAAAAGCUAGGGUUAGCUUUUGAUGCCCUAGGAAUGAGUAGAAUGGCUUGUAAAUAAUGUUAGAGAACUUCUAGAGGAAUUCUAUGCUAGCUUUGCUUAGCUUUAUAGAUCAAAUCCGGAAUUUUUGAGCAAAUGUCAUGUUAGGGCAUCCCAAAGAGGGGUUUUGCUCAUAUGGGGUUUUGAUCUAUUUUGACCUUGUGUAAACCUAAUUAAAGAUAUUUCCGACGCGUCGGCGAAGUUGGUUCGGCGAUCCGUCGAGCCUACGUGAAGAUAUUGAAGAAACGGACGUUUUGGCUUCGUUUCCGCCUGGAGGGCCGAGGCGACGUCCAAAAUUUACGAGAUCGGAUCCGAAGCAUCCUAGCAUCAAGUUAUAGACCUUCAAUUUCCGGAUCGUGGAUUGGUGGCCGUUUGGGUGGUCGCGUGCAAGUUCGGGCCGAACCGGGUUACAGGUGCCGCGGGAGGCCGAUUGCAAGUGACUACAAGCAAUCGGAAAGCUAUUUAAGGUGGGUUGUGUUUACCGAAGUGACUAGGUCGCCUGUAUGUCUAAGAUGAAUGUUUAUCAUUGAUGCUUAUUAUGGUAGCUAAUGGUAGAAUGUGUGAAUGUAUGCGAUGAAUGCUAUAUGGGCUACUAAAUAAUGCAUGAUGACACAGGGUGAAUAAUGCUAGUUGAAAGCAUGAGAUAAGUGACAUACGUUAGUAGUAAUGCCUAUUAACAUAAUGUGAGAAUACUAGACGAAUGCAUGUGGCAUGUAUAGAAAUGCUAAUGUAAGAAUGCUAAGUGAAUGCAUAUUGAUAUGAAAUAAGAAUGCUCAAAGAACAUAUGAUGAACAUGUUAUAGAAUGUUAGAUAAAUACAAGUUGACAUAUAGAGAACUAUAUUAAAUGACAUGUGCAUGUGGACAUAUAUACACAUAGAUCGAGUGGCAUUGAACCUAGUGUCAAGGACAUAGGUUAAGCAAGAGUAAUAGUGAACCAAGUGUUAAUAUACAUCGGUUCAACAAGUGUGGCUUGUAACCUAGUGUUAAUAUACAUAGGUUGAACAAGUGUGGCAUGUAACCUAGUGUUAAUAUACAUAGAUUGAACAAGUGUGGCAUGUAACCUAGUGUUAAUAAACAUAGGUUGAACAAGUGUGGCAUGUAACCUAGUAUUAUUGAACAUAGGUUGAAUAUGAACCUAAUGUCAUGAACCUAGGAUGGAUAAGAAUGAAUAUGAACCUAGUAUUAAAGAACAUAGGUUGUGGAAUAAACCUAGAGUUAAAGUAAACCUAGGUUAUGUGAUAAAGCAUCAAGCCUAGCGUCAAGUGGACCUAGGGUGGAAAGGACAUUGGACCUAGAUAGAUCGAUACUAUAGGGUUAAGACCAACCCUUGAGUUAUGUGAAAUGGAUUCCGCAAUCCCAGAGCUUAUGUAUCACACCGAGAAGGGUGUGGGGCGUGUGCGACGAUUUCGCCGCCCGGGGCUAAACCAUUGACGAGGUGUGUGCGACGAUUUCGCCACCGAAUGGUUAAGCCGGUUGUGGAUUAUACCGCUGGUUGACUCGAACCAUCGACGAGGCGUGUGUGCGACGAUUUUGCCGCGGGGUGGCUAGGUCAUGGAGCGCUGUGAGCUAUGGUUGGCCGAGGUGCAUGUGAGAGUUCCUUCACCUCGAGCUGGACAAAGCGCGGAUUAUCCGUAGCGAAUUGACUCAAGACCGAGUCGAGUGGCAUAGUGUGACUAAGGUAAGAGUAACCUCAGGAAAGAAUGGCAAAUGAGCGUAAUAUGACCAAGGUGUGAGUACCCUUAGUAAAGAAUAGAGAAUAGCUAAGAAUAAAAAGUGGCUAAUAAGAAAGAAUUGUAAGUAGUAAAGAAUGGCUAAUAAUAUGAAGUGGAAUUAAUUAAUUUACUUGCAUGAGUUACAGGAUUUGCAUAAUGUUCAUAUUGCAUUUUGUGAGACAUGUUAUCUGUUAGUUGCAUAAUAACAUAAUGAUAUAUAUCUGUAUAUGUUUUUGGACUAACAUGAUUGCAGUGCCUCCUUGGACCUAUUGGUCGAGCUUUUUUCUUGGGUGGCCGUACCCACUGGGAACCAUGAAGUUGGUUCUCACCCCACAUUGUUUUGGGGUGUUACAGUUCGCACGUGAGCGGCGCAGCUGUGCGAGGCAAGGGCGUAGCUACAUAGAUAGCGCCCUACCCAGAGACCAGAGAUAGCAGUACCCCGAGUCGGCAUAGCCUAGGGGGAGAGGGAAAUAAAAAGAACAAGAUGAAUGGAUUAAACUUGUAAUAAAUUAUUGCAACUUGGAUUGUAUUCGGAAGUUGGAAAAAUGUAAUAGUAAUUGUGAUGUAAAAUGCACCUCAAGAUGAAUGUUGUAAUAACUUAGUUGUUUUAUAUUUUUGAUACUUCCUUAUGCAAUCUUUGGUUGAAAUGUGUUCCUGGUUGGAACUUCGUACAUUGUACAGGUUGCGACGCCUAGGACGUACAGGGGAAACUCUAUCCGUUCGGCAGUCUGUUGGCGUUCCCGAACUCGACCAAAUAGGCAGGGCACGGGGCGUGACAGCCUCGCUCUCCCGCUGUAUAAUUCUGAGUCGAGACUCAUCUCAUUCUUUCGGUUGAUAAAUCGGUCCCAUACCAACUGUGACGCCCUAACUUCUGAGGGGGUCACCUAUCCUAGGACUAUUCCCGUCCUAGCACGCUUAACUCUCUUAACCUCUUGGGUCUAGCCACUAUUCAAAAUGCUUAAGCUGGGUUAAGAGUUUUAGUCAUAUUAUAUCUUAUAUAUAAAUCUAGGGUGUCAUAAUAGAGAGGAAAUAUAACGGGAGGUCGGAAAGAACCGAGUUCACAGGCGUUAGUCUGCCGCCGCAUGAAAGAAGUUUUGCAUGCCAACUUUCGAUUCUCUUUUCUACUUUAUAAAUGACCCCCGACUAAUCCUCUUAACUUCCUGUUUGUCAGUGGCAAGCCCAGAUACUUUAUCGGGAACAUCCCAAUUUUACACUGCAGAAUGCUUGCAAGCCUUGGCGCCCUAUCUUCUCCUUUUCCUAUGUAGAAUAGUCCGUUUUCGCUUUAUUAAUCUUCACUCCCGAGGUCCAUUCAAAAAGACUCCACAUAAACCUAUGGUUCUUGUAAUGCCCCAAUAGUCUCACAUCGGAUGAAAAAAUGAUUACAUUAAAAUAUAUGAGACCUACACGCUAGUAAUGAUAACUGGGUUUAAAUAUUUUGGGCCGGUCGUUUGGGCCCAACAAGUUAUUGUUGCUAGCGGGUCGAGUCGUUACAAUUGGUAUCAGAGCCAAAUACCAGCCGAAAGUGUGAGAGCUAAGUGCCAUGCAGGGCAAAGUGCUACACUAAUGGGUUUGGUGGGAGCCAUCUUUUGAACUCAUAGGAGCCACCUUUAGAAUCUCACAUCGCCUGGUAAUUUUGGUAUGUACCUAUGAACUAGUUUGGACCCGACGAAGAUGUCAGGAUCUAAACAGGGGAGUUUGUAACGCCCCAAUAGUCCUACAUCGGAUGCAAAAUGAUUCUGCUUACAAUAUAUGAGACCUAUAUGCUAGUAAUAAUAACUGGGCUUAUGUAUUUUAGGCCAGUGGUUUGUGCUCAACGAGUUAUUGUUGCUAGUGGUUCGGGUCGUUACAAUUCUCAGAAACCUUUCUUAGGCUCACAAAAGAAAAUCGUGUCAUCUGUGUACUAAAUAAUAGACAACCAACAAUUCUCCUAAGACCAAUUCCUUUUAAAAGAUUGUGACUGGUUGCUUUUUUUGUCAUCUUCGCAAGGCACUUAGCCACCAUUAAAAAUAAAAAUGGAGAUAAGGGUCACCCUGCCUUACCCCUCUUUUCAUUUUUAUCCACCUUGUCGCCUCUCCGUUGACCAUCACUGCUACCAUAGCAUUACAUAAACAUUGGCUAAUCCACCCAUACCAUUUCUCAUCGAAACCCUACCACUCCAUAUCUCUUUUUAGAAAGUCCAGUUAACCUUGUUAUAUAUAUGCUUUUUCAAAGUCUACCUUCACCCUUACCCCUUUUGUUGCCACUUUGUAGUCCCAUGAAGUGAGUUCACUUGCAGAGACAAACAAGUAGAAAAUGAGCCUAAUUUUUAGGAACCCCGAUUGUGAUGAGGAUAAUUUCAUUCAUAACUCCUUGCAAUCUGUACCCAAAACCUUAGAUAUUAUUUUUUGUACUCCAUUUAACAAACUUAUAGGUCAGAAGUCGUUUGCAAUCCUAGUUCCAUCUUUCUUUUGAAGUAAGCAUAUGAAUGAAUAGUCGAUAGGGCCAGUGAAAGCCUCUCCUUUAUAUAGCUCUUGGAAAAUGUUCGAAAUAUUCCCCUUGAGGUAUCUCAGAAGGUCUAAUAGAAACUCAUGGGAAAUCUAUCUGGUCCCGACGACUUGUCUCCUCCAAGUUGAAAGAUAGCUUUUCUGAUCUCCUCCAAUCUAAAGUGCAAUGUAAGUCUUUCAGGAUUUGUGAUUUGCCUAGUUUGGAAAAGCCCACUCCAAUCUCCAUGCAAAAAUCUUUUUGAACUUUCUCCAGAAAUAAAGUUUCUUCUCCUCUUCAAUAAAAAUAUUUUUUCCAUUAUCAUCGAUCAUACCUUUCCCAUUCGUUCAUUUCCUGACAUUAGCUACUACAUGAAAAACCUUUGUAUUCCCAUCACCUUCUCGUAACCAUCGUUGUUUGGCCCUAGUUUUCCAUAAAGCUUCGUCAUUUUCUAACACACCUAAGAGCAUCUCUUUAAGUUUUUUAUUUUUAUUUGCUAAAUCCUAUGUUAUGUCCUAAUGCUACUCUAUUUUGUUCAAUCAUCUAGAUUUCUCACAUUAGUUCGUCCUUUUUCCUUCCAUUGCUAUAAAAGUUUAUUGUACACCAUUUCUUUAUUCUCUUACGGCAAUGUCUCAACUUUGUGGUGAGCAACUUUGUGGUGAGCGUAAGAAUUGCAAUUCUUUUGUCCUCUAUUUCUUUCCACCAUAAUAAACUUUUGUGAUAAAGUCCUCACUAUUCAACCACACCUCCUCAAGUUUGUAUAGUUUGCUUCUUGUUUUGUCUCUUAUUGAGAGCAUAAUAGGGCAAUGAUUUGAUGUAAUUCUGGGGAGUACUACAACUUUAGAAAAUGGAAAGCUCUGAUCCCAUUUUGUCAAUAUGAGGAAGCGAUCUAAUUUAGCUAGAUAGGCGCUUUUUGCAUGUUCGACCAAGUAUAUGCUUGGUUCUUCAUCGGCAUAUCUAUCAAUGCUAAAUCUCGGAUGACAUCGUUGAACAUGUUCAUCAAUUUAUAACUCCACCGUCUAUGCUUUCGCUCCUCCCGAUUCCUAGUGAUUUGAAGCCACAAUAAAUCACCCAUUUGUUAGGCAUUAAAGAGAACCUUUACUUAAUAAUCUUGCUACAAAAGAAGUCUCGUGAACUCCAACAAGUCAAAAUACCCCCAUAUGCACCAGUAGACUGAAUAAACUGACACUUGUCACAACAGGAGCCACAAUAACUAUGAAGAAAUGAAAGCGAAAAGACUCCAAGGUAACAAAAGCAAUAAACAAAGAUCGUAAGGUUAGUAGUAAUGAGAUAAUAAUAGGCAAUAAAUGCGAAAAAUAUCGCUACUGAACAGAAAACAACCAUUAAGCAUAAUCAACAAGUAUACUAAAAUAGUAGCAAUAAUGACAAAGGAAAAGAUACAACUUUCAAUCAGUAUAUAAUUAUCUGCUACUGUAACUAACUAUAGAACGUACCAAUGCAGCAAUUGGGUGAAUAAAACCAACAACCAAAAUCACUGCCGUAUUGGUCGAAAGACCUUAGGCUAAACCACAUCUUUCUCCACCACCUGGCAUAUAACACUAUACUAGGCACCUUGUAGGGCUCACAGGUCGGAAGUACGACCACUUUUUCAAAAAGAACACCCUCUUGCGGUGGAUCAGACCGCUGGUGUACGUGAAGAUGCUCACAAACAGUGGCAAUCGAUGUAACAUGCUUAAUGGCCAACAACAGCAACUACCUGAAAGAAUAAUCUGCAAAGUCCGACCACAUCAGGUCCACUAAUCCCGAAGGAAAUGUCACCAUAUCACCGACCUACAAGGUCUAUAUAACCAAGUCACUAUGUACGGGAUACGAAAAGUCAUAAUGUCAAGUCAUAUAAUAGGUCACUAGAGAUGCCACCAACCGCAAGGUCUACUAAUGUCAAAUCAUGUCAUAUACAAAUACGAGUGUCACCGACCACAAAGUCAAUAAUUGUCAUAUCAUCUACUAUGAUCAUGUCAAAACAGAAGUUCCACUGACUAUAAGAUCAACUAAAGUCAAAACACAAAGUAUAUGACUACGAGUGUCACUGACUCUAAAGUCAACUAAUGUCAAAUCUACUACGAGUGUCACCAACUAUAAAGUCAACUAAUGUCAAGGUCAUCUACUAUGAACACACCAUGGAUGACUCAAUCAAUAGGAGCACCGCUCAACUACUAGAUCAUGACCAUAUGAAAUAGAAGUGAGUGUAGAGUGACUAACUAUAAAAUCAAGUAGUGUAUGAAAGCUCAGCCAUAUCAAGCAAAUGGAAGGAGAUAAUAAGGAUAGAAAUCACCGAGCAGGCACCACUUUACUGACUUUGGAUCGAAGUACCAACCUCUACCGAAGAAUAAAGCCGGGUCGUUGACACCCGUCGAUGUCUCCCAUCACAGUCUAGGACUACACAGAGUCCCACAAAAAACGUAAUUAGCUCAAGCUCGCUAAUUACAAAAGCUAUGGUUUCAAGUGGAACCAACAGGCGAGCAAUCGGGCUUCCGGAUCACGUUCCACGGUCACCAAAAUAUCACCCGAUUGUCGCAUCGACUCGUUGGAAUGUCACCCCAACCUACGAGGCAUUCCAACACAAGUCCCACACAAAGCCUAUCUCAUUUGUUGUCCAAUACAUCAAUUUAAUGCCAUUGGGGCAGCCGCACAAAUAGUGUGUCAGAACGGAAAGUUGAGAUUCCAGGAAUCACCGGUUUGGCUCCCGGGGUCCCCAUUUCUGUUAUGCCCCGCAACCGCCAAUUUGGUCGGUUCGAGCACGCACACAGACCGCCAAACGUACAGAGUCUCCCCUGUACCACCCAAGGCUCAACAACAUCAUGUACAUCUAGUUUUGCCCAGGUAAAACAAAUAACAUACAUGAUUUGCGCGAGAAUAAUAAACAAGAGCAAGAGAGAAAUUUAACUAAACUAUUACAUUCAUUCAUUUACUUAACCAUUUACAAAUUGCAACCAUUUGUUUCAUACAUAGUCUCCUCACUAUAUAUUCUCUCCAAAACAUAACAUGUCUCUUACAUAAGUAUGUACAGGGUAUACUAAUGCACGGGAGGUCACUACUUAGGGCGCUAUGCCCUUGCCACAAUCCUCGGCUGCUCCGUUAGGACUGGGAUCUGCAAAAUAAGGGGUUGAGAACUAAAAGAAGUUCCCAGUGGGUUUGGCCGCCAACCCCGCCGAUUUUUUCACUAGGUCUAAGUAGGCAUAAGUAGAAAGAGAACGAGAGUAAGAAAUACUAACAUACUUGUCACGCCCCGAGCUCGCCUAUUUUGUCGGUUCGGGCACACCGACAGACCGCCGAACGGACAGAGUUUUUCUUGUACGUCCUAGGCGUCGCAAUCAAUACAAUACAAGAGGUUCCAACCAGGAACAGUAUUCAAGCAAGGAUUGCACAAGGAAGUAUCAAAAACAUAAAACAACUAAGUUGUUACAAGCAUUCGUCCCAAGUUUACAUAUUACAUUUUCUUUUACAUUCGACUUCCAAAUACAAUCGAUCAUAACAUGCAAUAAGCUAAGUAGAUCAACUGAUUCUACUUUCAAUCCUGCUAUUCAUAGCUCAUCCAAUUGACUUCUAAGUUUUUCUAUAUCUUAGAUUCAUGUCAAUUAUAACUUACUCUUAAAGUUUUAACUAUCUUUAUCAUGCUAUCCACCCGAUUCGGUCUUGAGUCAAUCAUCCGCGGAAUACCGUGCAAAGCCAAGCUCAAGGUGAAGGACGUCUCACUUGCACCUCAGCCUUAAAUCCAUUCAACUAGGAUGCAACUACAGCUCAUAUGUUUGUCACCCAAUCAAUUGGCUAACCCGAAGGUUUGCCCUCAACUCACCAUGCCAUCUCGUAAGGUAAGGAGACGCACCUCGCUCGCAAACCCUAGACCGUCUGCGGGACAUCACCUCUGCCCCUCGUGUGACAACUCUGAAGUGCACUACUUGGGUGGAGCGACCACUGCCAAGCUCAAAACAGACUAUGUGAGUAUGAUCCAAUCCUCUCCAACCGAGGAUACCCUACCAACUAGGGAUACAACAACUCGGGAACUCAACUAUCCCUCUGUUCAUAUUCAAGUGUCAUAUCUACACUAGAUUCACAUAUCACAUAUCACGACUCAGGGAUUCCACCUAUCCCUAAGUUCAUAUCAUAGUGUCUUUACUACACUAAUAUCAAAUGCCACUCGAUAUACUUGACAUCCUAGCUGUUCACAUCGAGUAUCGUAGUUUACACACUCUUGUUUUCCAAUGUCGAGUUUUCUAACCAUCCAAGAGUUAUCGACCCAAGUUCAACAUGCAUAUGUUAUUUAACAUAAUCCACGAUAUACCAACACGCAUAUACAUCAGCUAACACCUCAUGAUAUAUCAACAUGCAUAUAUUUCUAUCUAGCAUUUCAUCUAGUAGAUUGCAAUAAUAGGCAACAUCAUCUAGCAGUUAACACAUACAUUCCUCUAGCAUUUAACUCAUGCAUUCAUCUAGCAGUUAACACAUGCAUUCCUCUAGCAUUUAACUCAUGCAUCUAUCUAGCAUUUAACAUAUUAUACGCAUUAACGAGAAACUACACUUUGCUUCGACAUGGAAGCGAGCUAAUAACUUCGGUGAGCACAACCCACCUCGCAACGCUCUCCGAUUGCUUGUCGACACUUGCAAUCGGCCUCCCGCGGUGCACGUCGUCCAGUUCGGCCCGAUCUUGCAAAUAAUCACUAACAGUGCGUCAAUCUGCGGCCUCGGGUUUUAAAGGGCUUCAUCUAGAUGCCGCGACGCUAGAAAUUCGUUUUCGUGAUUUUUGGACGCCGCCUCGGCCUUCCAGGCGGAAACGAAGCCAAAAACAUCCUUUUUUCCCAUAUCCUCGCGUGGCCUCGACGGAUUGCCAAACCGACUUCGCCAACGCGUUCGUAUAUCUAGUAAUUUUGUUCACACAGGUUCAAUUUAGAUCAAACCCUUACAUUUUACAGAAACCCCAUUUUAAGCCUUAGUAUGCAUACAACCUCCAAUAACCCAAAAUCAAAUGGAGAAACAUGCUAGAAUCACUCUAGAUACUGCUAGAACACUAAGCAUAAAGGAUUUAACCGAAUCCUAAACACUUAUCAAAUUGCGAAUGCCGAGACGGAAGCACCCCGCUCAAACGGGUGCACGAGAGCCCGAACCGUCGCCUCCAACGCGUUCGCAAGCUCCUUCUCCUCCAAAAUCCCAACUUUAAGAGAGAGAUCUAGAGAGAUAAGAGAGAGAUCUAGAGAGAUGAGAGAGCCUCUCUCUCUACCCUUGUGUGUGUGUGUGGUGUGUUUGCUGUGGGAGAAGAAAAAAAAGGAUGGAGGCUUUUUUUUAAAUCAAUCCCCUCACAAUUACCAAUUAGCCCCUGCACUUUCUGGGCAAUUUUCGGGCUCAGGGACCGGUCCUUGGCUAGAGGGACCGGACCCCGUAGGUCCAUAAAUUCUGCACUUUCAGACUUAACCAAAAUUUCAGCCUUUUCUCCAAUUUUGGUCUGUUUUCGCUCGUUUUUGCUCCGUGGGUCUCCGAUUCAUCUCAAAUCGCACCGAGACGCGCAAGACAUGUUUUCGAGCACGUCAAACCAUCUUUUCAUCCACGCCUUGCCGAACUUCGGCCAAGGUCCAAUCAUAGCAUUCGGGUUCCGUUUUCGCGCCCAACGCGUACCGAGAACACCCGAAAGCUCCCGAACUUCGCCGGAACCAUUCAAACGACUUUCCAAACUAAUAUACACUGUAACUUUAUAAUUAUAGAAGUUCGGUAUGUUACAAUACUACUAUGCCUCAACAAUAUGAUAUGAUGAAUAAGUAACCAUUAUGCUCAUGAUGCAUGACAUUCAUAUGCUUGUAACCGAAUCAUACCGGCUAACCCAAAGGUUUAACCCAACUCACAACCAAUCCCACAGAUGAGGAGACUUCCAGCUAUGCUCAUCCGGGACCAUCUGCUCGGUAGAUACGUUAACCGAAUAUGUGACAACUCCGGAGCCCACUACUUGGGUGGACCGACCACCACCAAGCUGACAGACGCUAUGUGAGUACAAUCCAAUCCUCUAAACUUGAGAUAUCCUACCAACUAGGGGCAACAAUACUUGGGGAUUUAUCCAUCCCUAACAUCUAGUGUCAGGAGUGCUACCACAUCGCUAGUCCAAAUGCCACCAUUCUAUGUCACUAUGUUGUCUAAGUUCACAUUCGGUUCAUGGCACUAUAGAGAUUGCCUUGUCCAAGACCCAAUCCUUAUGCAUAUAACAUCUAUGUUACAUUUCACAUUUUCUAUAUUUACUAUGAGAGCAUGCAAAGAAUUGAGUGCAUAACACAUACUAUUCUAUAAUGCGCGAGUUUACAUAUAUACAUACAUGGCCAACAAUAGUAACAUAGACAUAGGAAGAAACUCAACAAUUUCGGAUAGCACCACCCACCUUAGAUUGAUGCUAAGAAGUGAGAAACCGAGUCCCACGAUUUACUAACACCAUUUUGGCUCGACCUAAGAGUAACGAACACUGUGUUUUUCUCCAACGGUAUGCUGUAAGCUCGUAGAAACCUUGUUUUAAGCCUCCCAACGUGUCGAUUUAUUCUUCAAUUAAGGAAUUAAGAGAUCAAUUUCACCAUAAACCCCAUAUCUACAAAAAUCCUAAUUUCAAUCCUAGGGUUUCCUAAAACAUGGUGAAGAACCGAUCACUAUGAGAAAUCAUGGAUCAUCCUAGAUUUCUAAACCACAAGAACCCCAAAACAUGGAUUCUAGGUCAAUCAAAGAAAACCCUAGGUUUAAAAUUGCUAAACCUUACUUUGGCCACUUCUAGACCUCAAACUCCACCUUGUAGGAGAGCCUCUUCCACUCCACUAAGCUCCAAAAUCCUUCCAAACCUCUCCAAUCCACCUUGUUGGAGAGCUUCUAGAGAGAGAAAGAGAGGGAGAUGAGAAAAGAGGAAGGAGGGUGUUCUCAGCUUGUGUGCAUGAGAGAAGAGAGUUGGGACUAUAUAUGUCACGCCCCGAGCUCCGCCUAUUUGGUCGGAUUCGGGCACGCCGACAGACCGCCGAACGGACAGAGCCUCCCCUGUACGUUCUAGGCGUCAACAAUCUAAACAAUGCAAUACAAGAGGUUCCAUGCAGGAACUAUAGCAAGUAUGUAGAUUGCAUAAGUAUCAAAAACAUAAAAUGCUAACUAUGCUAUUACAAGCAUUCAACUCACAGAUUCUUUAGACAUUUACAAUAGUUUACAUUUACAUAACCAAAUGUGCUUUUAAGUUAUUACAAAACUUAUACAAAUUACUACAAAUUUGUUUCCUUCCAAUUGGAACUCUGAGCUGGACCUCUUCGGGGUACUUCUAUCUCUGGUCUCGGUGGUAGGGCGCUAUCUACGGAGCUACGCCCUGUCCUCGCGCCGUUGCGCCGCUCACGUGUAACCUGUACCCCCAAAACAACACGGGGGUGAGAACUAUAUAAAUAUAGUUCCCAGUGGGUACGGCCACCCAAGGGAAGAGCUCGACCCACCAGGUCCAAAGGAGGCAACAGUAGGUUAGUUCAACAAAUAGAUAGAUAGAUAUUUGACUAAGCAAUAAAUAAAACCAUACCUUGCCUCGCUGCUAUGCAAUAUGCAAUACCUGUCAAUCAUGUAAGUAGAUUACUUGAUUCUACUUUAUAUCUUUAACCAUUCUUUACUUAUAGCCGUUCUUUUAUUUCUUAGCUAUUCUCGUUCAUUAGCUAAUUUCAUUAUCGUUCAUGUUUUGCUCUUUAUUCUUUGUACUUGUACUUGGUGUUCUACACCUUAAACUUGGGCCCACUAUAUUCAUUGGCAAAUUCUUUCUUAAGGUUGCUCUUACCUUAAUCUCACUAUGCCACCCGACUCGGUCUUGAGUCAAUCAAUCGCGGAUAGUCCGCGCACUGUCUAGCUCGAGGUGAAGGAACUCUCACAUGCACCUCAGCUGGCGACAGCUCACCGUACUCCUGUCCUAGCUGUCUGGCGGCGAACGAGUCGCACCUCACCCAACAACAGCCUAGGUCAAUGACUUAGCCACCCGGCGGCGAAAUCGUCGCACACGCCACGACAGUGGUUCAGUCAACAGGCGGUAGGAUCCACAAGCUGGCUUAACCAUCUGGCGGCGAAAUCGUCGCACACGCCGAACAAUGGUUCAAGCCUCCGGGUGGUGGACACUGCGCACACACCCAAUCCUGCCUUGGUAUCAAUCUCGGCGGCGAAAUCGUCGCACACGCCCUAGCCUUGAUACCAAGGUUAUAAUAGAUCUUGGGAUUCCGGAAUCCAUUUCCACAACUUGAGGGUUUACUCACUUUACCCUAUGUUGACGACCCUCCUAGGUCGAUACCAAUCCUUUCCUAGUGGUCACUAUACCACUAAUAUUCACAACUUAGUUCAAAUGUACUAAGUCUUACUAUAUAUCAUAACCUAGGUUCAUUUGCUAGGUUUUAUAUCAUUUUCACCUAGAACUCGACUCUAGGUUUAAUUACUUGACCUAUGUCCAAUGACACUAGGUUAAUGUCCGACCUCUGUUUCAAGAACACUAGGUUCAUGCCACUCGAUCUAUUACAAGUUGCACAUUUUCAUUUACUUUGUUACCGUCCAGAUUUCUACUCAA